RNAcentral lists this long non-coding RNA (57980 nucleotides) under Ananas comosus (pineapple). Its description in RNAcentral is "long non-coding RNA (ACOM_LNC020427)". The stretch from base 13515 to 13675 matches the Rfam family "U1 spliceosomal RNA". Lineage: Eukaryota; Viridiplantae; Streptophyta; Magnoliopsida; Poales; Bromeliaceae. The record is from RNAcentral.
UGAAGUAGGUUUGCAAAGGUUACUUAACAAUUAUAUAUAUACAAGUGAAAUACCCGCGCGAUGCUGCAGAUAUAAAAAUAUUUUUAUAAUAAAUUUUAGUUUUUUUAAUAUUUUUAUAUAGUUUUAUAAAUCUAAUUAUUAAUUAAAUAAAAGUUAUAUAAAAAUAAUUUAAUAGUUAAAUCUAUUUAAAUAAAAGUCAUUAAAAUUGGUAUAUGCGCAAAGUAAUUUAUACAAUAGUUUAUUUUAUAAAAAAUUAUAUGAAAAGGAUUUGAGAUAAAUCUAUCAAAAUAAUUUUAAAAAAAUCAAUAAAUAGAAGGAAAAUAAAAUUGUAGAAGAUAUUGUUUAAUAAAAUUAAUUAUAUAUACACACAUACACUAUAUUUUUAAAAUUUUACUCCUGAAACUUAAAUUCCGUAUUUUUUUUAUACAAUGAAAUUUUAUGUGAUUUAAAUUUCAUCUAUCAAAUUAGAUUUUAUUAUGCGAUUUACUAUGUGUAUUUUUAAUAAAAUUAAUUAAUUAUAUUGUAUAAAACUAAUUAUUAAUAAAUUUAAUUAAUUAAUUAAUUUCAUAGAGUUUAGAGAUUUAAAAUUUUAAACUUUGAAGCUUAAAAUUUAGAAAUAAAUAAUAUAAGUAAAAAUAAAAUUUAAAAUUUAAAUAUAAAAUAUAAAAUUAGAAAAUUAAAACUUUAAAAUUUUGAAUUUAAAAGCUUAAAUUUAGAAAUAAAUAUUAUAUAGUAAAAAUGAAAUUUAAAAUUUAAAUAAAAAAUAUAAAUUAGAAUUUAAAACUUUAAAUUUGGAAGUAUCAAAUUUUAUAUUUUGAUAUAAAAUUUAAAACUUUAUAUAUAUAUAUAUAUAAUAUAUAUAUAUAUAUAAUAUAUAUAUAUAUAUUUAUAUAUAUAUAUAUUAUAGAGGAGAGAGAAGGGGGGGUUUGGGGACAGGGUUCACCUUGUGUCCCCCAAACCCUCCUUUAUGUAGUUAGAUAGAAUAAAUUUAGUUUUUUUAAUAUUUUAUAUAGUUUUAUAAAUCUAAUUAUUAAUUAAAUAAAAGUUAUAUAAAAAUAAUUUAAUAGUUAAAUCUAUUUAAAUAAAAGUCAUUAAAAUUGGUAUAUGCGCAAAGUAAUUUAUACAAUAGUUAUAUUUAUAAAAAAUUAUAUGAAAGGAUUUGAGAUAAAUCUAUCAAAAUAAUUUAAAAAAAAUCAAUAAAUAGAAGGAAAAUAAAAUUGUUUGAAGAUAUUGUUUAAUAAAAUUAAUUAUAUAUACACACAUACACUUAUAUUUUAAAAUUUUACUCCUGAAACUUAAAUUCCGUAUUUUUUUAUACAAUGAAAUUUUAUGUGAUUUAAAUUUCAUCUAUCAAAUUAGAUUUUAUUAUGCGAUUUACUAUGUGUAUUUUUAAUAAAUUAAUUAAUUAUAUUGUAUAAAACUAAUUAUUAAUAAAUUUAAUUAAUUAAUUAAUUUCAUAGAGUUUAGAGAUUUAAAAUUUUUAACUUUGAAGCUUAAAAUUUAGAAAUAAAUAAUAUAAGUAAAAAAUAAAUUUAAAAUUUAAUAUAAAAAUAUAAAAUUAGAAAAUUAAACUUUAAAUUUUGAAGUUUAAAAAGCUUAAAAUUUAGAAAUAAAUAUUAUAAGUAAAAAUUGAAAUUUAAAAUUUAAAUAAAAAAAUAUAAAAUUAGAAUUUAAAACUUUAAAAUUUGGAAGUAUCAAAAUUUUAUAUUUUGAUAUAAAAAAUUUAAAACUUUAUAUAUAUAUAUAUAUAUAUAAUAUAUAUAUAUAUUAUAUAUAUAUAUUAUAUAUAUAUAGAGGGAGAGAGAAGGGGGGUGUGGGGGACAGGUGUCACCUUGUGGUCCCCCAAACCCUCCUUUAAUGUAGUUAGAUAGAAUAAAUUUUUAGUUUUUUAAUAUUUUAUAUUAGUAUUUAUAAAUCUAAUUAUUAAUUAAAUAAAAGUUAUAUAAAAAUAAUUUAAUAGUUAAAUCUAUUUAAAUAAAAGUCAUUAAAAUUGGUAUUAUGCGCAAAGUAAUUUAUACAAUAGUUUAUUUUAUAAAAAUUAUAUGAAAGGAUUUGAGAUAAAUCUAUCAAAAUAAUUUUAAAAAAAUCAAUAAAUGAAGGAAAUAAAAUUGUAGAAGAUAUUGUUUAAUAAAAUUAAUUAUAUAUCACACAUACACUAUAUUUUUAAAUUUUACUCCUGAAACUUAAAUUCCGUAUUUUUUUAUACAAUGAAAUUUUAUGGAUUUAAAUUUCAUCUAUCAAAUUAGAUUUUAUUAUGCGAUUACUAUGUGUAUUUUUAAUAAAAUUAAUUAAUAUUAUAUGUAUAAACUAAUUAUUAAUAAAUUAAUUAAUUAAUUAAUUUCAUAGAGUUUAGAGAUUUAAAAUUUUAAACUUUGAAGCUUAAAAUUUAGAAAUAAAUAAUAUAAGUAAAAAAUAAAAUUUAAAUUAAAUAUAAAAUAUAAAAUUAGAAAAUUAAAACUUUAAAAUUUUGAAGUUUAAAAAGCUUAAAAUUUAGAAAAAAAUUAAUAAGUAAAAAUUGAAAUUUAAAAUUUAAAUAAAAUAUAAAAUUAGAAUUUAAACUUUAAAAUUUGGAAGUAUCAAAAUUUUAUAUUUUGAUAUAAAAAUUAAAAACUUUAUAUAUAUAUAUAUAUAUAUAUAUAGAGAGAGAGAGAGAGAGAGAGAGAGAGAGAGAAAAGGGGGUUUGGAGGGACACGUGUCACCUUGUGGUCCCCCCAAACCCUCCUUUAAUGUAGUUAGAUAUAUAUAUAUAUAUAUAUAUAUAUAAAAUUAGGCUGGAAUACUAUUAAUGGUAAAACGCUCUUUUUACUUUCAAGUUUUUAACCUUGGAUGAAAAAUUGUAGGAUCAGAAUGAUAUUAGUCGGUUAGAGUUGAGUGGUCCCCCUUGGGUUGAGUGGUCCCCACUGGAUUAUAGUAUUUAAUCCAAUGGUUAGAAAUAAUGAAAAGAGUUAAUCCAAAGGCUAAAAAACUGGUAGCAACAAUAGGAUUUUGCUACUAAUAGUAACCCAGUCCAACUCAUAUAUAUAGUUUUGCUAGAAUACUAUCGGUAGUAAACGGCUCGGUUUACUACUGAUUUGUUUUCGAUGAUAGAGCUUCCAAAUUGAUGAUCGGCACCGUUAAAUAUGAUCUAAAGUAUUUAAACUAUCUAAAAAUCAAAUUUCACACAUUUUUGAUAUUGUUCUCUUGUCCAUCAAGUGAACAGAAAAAUGAAUGGCUGGAAAUGAAUAUCCUUCAAAAAGUGAUGAUACAAUUUUUAUAUUUGAGAUCUAAAGUCUAGAUCUUAUUUUAAAUAGUUUAAAAAAAUUUUUAACAAAAAUUUAGUUGAUUUGAACUCUUCUAUACCGUUAAACGAGCAAACGCACCAUAUCGGCUAUUAAAAUUAUAGAUUUUGUGACCCUUUGAUCGUUCAGUUAGUGAUGCCAAAAAAUCAUGAAAUUUGACUUCUAGAUAAUUUAAAUGGUUUAGAUCAUGUUCAACGGUGCCGAUCGUCGAUUUGGAAGCUCUAUCAUCAAAAAUAAAUGGGUAGUAAACCGAGCAGUUUACUACUGAUAGUAGCCCAAUAAAACUCUCUCUAUAUAUAUAUAUAUAGGGUUGGGCCAAAUUAUAAUACUAUGAAAAAGAUUGAGAGUAAAAUGAUUUAAGUAACAAGUGCAAGAUAGUUAUUUGUCUCUAAAUAUUUAAACAUGUAGAGUAUGAUAUUUUUAUAUUUUAUAUUCUCACCCUAUUUGGUGAGAUUAAUACAGGACUUUCUACUUUAAUAUUAUACAUAGAAUGGCUGAAUAAUUUACAAAUUAAAAAGGACAAAAAAAUAGUAAGACCUUAUUUGGUACUUUGGUUAAUUUGCAAUGCAACCCGUCAAAUAGUAGACAACAACUGUUUUAAACAAUUUUCUAGAAAUUCUAUAUAAAAAAAUAUAAAAUAGCAAAACAAGGCCUUGUAACUGUUUUGUCUUUAAAAAAAUUGAGUUAAAAAUAUAAAAAAAUUAAAUUUUAAAAUUGAAAUUUUGAAUAUCGAUUAUUAAGUUCCUUAUCAUCGGUGCUAAAGACGGUUGAUGGGUUCUUUAUCAUCGGCGCUAAAGACGGUUGAUGGGUCUAAAUUGCCAUAGUGUGAUGAUAGAAAUACUAUGAUAUAUUAUUACGGAAAAUGCAAGGUCUAAGUUUUUUUUGGAAAAAAAAAAAGUCUCUAUUCUACCCACUUCGCUUAUUUCAUUUAGAAAUAAACUUAACUGAAAAUAUGAAUCAAUUAGAAUUCGAACUUAAAACCUUGUGUAUCAACCACCAAAUCUUUUGUCAUUUGCGCUAGGUACGGCCGGUGUGAGGUCUCUAUUGUUAGUCACUUAUACGCACCCUCUACGGAUGGACGGGAGUGGAAGAUACUGGUGGACAGCUGUCGCCACAACAUUUGGGGAGACAGUAUUCAUUCAUUCUCACAAUCAUUGGGCGCAAGGCAGUCCCGUGAGAGUUCCGCGGGGUUGGUGAAAGAUUUGCGUUUUCUGAUUCUGCUUGGCAGUCGAUGGUGACUACAGCCUUGGUCCUUGGAGGAGGCAGACAGCAAGACGCAUACGAGGUUCAUAGAAAUUGUUUUUUUUUUUCCGGAAAAAGUUUUAAUCUUUUCAAUUGGGAAGUCACAAAUGUACCGAAGGAUUCUUAAAAAAAGAAAAUUGAUGGCAUGUGUUAGUUCUACUAAAGAUACCCUCGAAGAUUUCUUAAAACAUCACCUUUCACGUAAUGCAAUUGGCACAUCAGCACCUAUUAAAAAAAAACUGUACGAAAGAUGCACUAAAGAACAAAGGGAGCAGUGGGGUUGCUCUUUCCUACUAAUGACCACGACGUUUGAGGCAACGAGGGAGCUCCCUUGGCUGCUUAGAUAUUGCGUGUGAGGUUCUAGAGAGUACUAUGUCAGGUGAAGUACAUGUGGAGGGCACGAAAUCAGGGAAACAUGAUAGAGUCAACGUAUAACCCGAGAGCCAAUAAUAUGAACACCAAGAAAGGUACUACAAAGUUCUAGAGGUAACAUUAGGCGUACGUCAAAAGGUAACGUUAGGCGUACGUCAAAGAAACGUUGCUGUGAUCUUGAUCUUAUAUCUCCAAUUCCUAUUAUAGGGCUAUUACUUGGUAGGAACCGACCAGAUGAGCACAGAGAUAUCUUUGUCAUGUUUUCUCAUUUUAUUUUGAUCAGUAAAAAUUUCAUUAAUCUUACCUACCAUCCCUAAAACAAAUGGCAAAGAACUUGAUGGUUAGUAUCCGAGAUCUCAAGCUCGAAUCCAAGUUGAUUCACAUUUCAAACUAAGUUUAUUUCUAAAUGAAAUAAACAAAGCGGGUAGAAAUGCUACCUAUCUCUCAAAAAAAAAAAAUCAUUAAUCUUAUCAACAGUUUACAACGAAAGAGAAUGAAAGGCAACAACGAAUCCAAAAAGUUCCACAACGACCGUAUUUCCAAUAAUGCCACCACAAAUAAGAAGGCAUCAACCUGAUAUUCAUUGCUGUUAUUCACUGUUGACCGCAAAUACUCUGGAACAAAAUCUCUUUUCGUAAUACACAGACCUUCGUCGCUAGAAGGGCAAUAACAAUAAAAACCUUAGCUAAUACAUAGAGACCACAGUAGGAGGCUCACCCAAUAGAACCAAAGAUGGCAGAGCAAUCGGUGGCUAUUAGCUUUUUCGGGCUUGCAACUGCAAUCUGUAUCAGCAAAAACACCAAAACAAUUACUUUAUGGAACAUGCAACGGUUUUCUAGCAUCGGCUUUGCGAGUAAAAUAACAAAGAGGGUUAAAGCCAGCUCAGAAAUAAGAUAUAAUUAUUCACAAGUUACUAAAAGAUCAAAUCAAAUUAGCAAUGCCACUUCGCCGCACAACAUCAAACAUUAAGAUUACACAAGUAAGAUCUGAUGUGUAGGAGGAAGCAAGAUGCUGCACCACAAAUAGGACCUGAUCCUUUUUUUUUUUCCAGAGAUGGGGAACAUCUACAUCCGCCUCCGCAUUCGCCUUCCGCUAAGAUCCACACCAUCCAUUAAAUUCAGUCCUAGAUUGCUGCUGCCACUCCUUUUCCGGCAAAAUGAUGAGGGAUCAUCAUCCACUACAGCAACAGUGGCCAAUAAGUCAGAGAGUAGAGAUGGGCACGUUUCCUCCAAGUAAUUAAAACCUUCACUCUGCAUGACAACUGCAAGUACAUGAUACAGAAAAAAACACUAGGGGAUAUGAGAAACUAAGGAAACAACUCGAUCAACAUGUCCAAGUGUGAUUGGGGUUAUCAAGAAAUCAUACAUGUUAAUUUAUAAUUUGAUGAUAAUGGAUUUCAAACUGCAAUGGCAUUAAUAACCAAAACAAUUGCUUGUUUACCAGCUAUUACAGUGCUGAAUACCAUUUUACAAAGCAGACAUGGCUAGGUGAAAUUUUGAGACAUAUUCAUAUUUGGAAGCUUGACAAGCAGCAACUUAAUAUUGGAGGACAUAUGCUCCCCCGAAGCAGAGAAUAAGAAACAAAAGGAGGUGAAUUUACCACCUUAAUUAGUUCAGAUGACUAUUCUCCACUCGGGGAGAGGCAUAAAAUAAAUCUAAACAUCAACAUAACUCCUGUUUUAAGCUAGAAAAUAUUGUUAUAAAACAUUGUAGUUCAUAGAAACCAAUGCUUCAAAAUAACCCUGUUUUAAGCUAGUAAAUAUAGUAGCUUAAGGAAACUAAUGACUAUUAUAUCAUCAUGUAAGCAAUCCCAGAAUAUGAGACCUACUCGGCACUUGGAUAUUGGCAGAUUGCACCCAUAGUACAAAUAUAGCGAAUGACAAAACAUCAAGCCUGCAGUAAGUCUAACCACCAGGAGGCAAGAAAAAAAAAAUCUAAAAGAUUUAAUUUGGAGUUCACAGUGAAAACUUUCCACGACGUCAUCAGCUAGAAAACUAUAUAAAUAUAAUAUAUGAAGAACUAUGACUAUCAGUGCCACCAUCCUUGCCCCACUUCCCAAUACACAGAAAGAAAGAAAGAAUCCUCAAUUUCUUAUUCAUGCAAGGAAAAUUCACAGGUCUAAUUCUAAGGACGACGAAGCUGACCUCCCAAAUUUUCUCGAGCCGCAGUAAAUUUUAGGCAGACGGACUUCAACUGAGCACACUGGUGUUGCUCAGCUAAGGCUAAGGUUGUUGCUACUGUAUCAGCAGUGACCUCUUCACAUAGCUUUGCUUCACAUAAAAGCCUAAGACGCUCCAACCCAUAUCUAUCAGCUGCUGCUAACAAAUGUUGCACUAUUAUGGUUGAUGUGCACAUUGAAACUGAUCCAGCCAGCUCAUGAAGACUCGGAAGUUCAUCUGAAUAGAUAAAAUAAAGCAUGGCCUGCCAAAGAAAAAUAAUAUCUGAUUAUAAAGUCUGAAAUACUAUGCAGUGAAUAUGCACGCCAUUCACAGAUUUUUCGCAUAACGCCAACACAAUCCUCAAAGAUAGUUAGGAACAAAUGUCUCAGUGCACGAUAUUGCAUGAGCAGUAAAUUAAAAGGGUGCAAUUUCUGACCUUGUUAGAACGAAAAAACAAAGGUCCACUAGAAGAAGAUUGCCGAUUUAAAGACUGGUAACUACGUUCUACUAAACGAGUGCAUUUGCUUGAGAAAUAGGGCAAAAAAUUUCUAUAUGUGCCAUAGUCAAAAAAAAUAUCAGAGCUCAAGAACCAUGGAUUCAAAUCUAGUUUGAGGAACUGGAACCAAAAAGAUAACAGAACCAAAGGAUAGAAGAGGCUUAAGAUGUAGAAGUAAAUUGUUGAGAGAGAGAGAGAGAGAGAGAGAGAGAGAAAUGAAUAAUAUUAGGCAAACUUCAACAGUCAUUGAAUUACAUAUAGGAAGUUCCCUCAGUCCAUUAAAGCCACAGGUACAUUUCAACAUAGUACUCCCACAAGUGUCAUGAUACCUGAAAGCCAGUUAAUCUGAAAUAACCAAAAACGGACCAAGAGUCCAAAAUUUUUUACCAUUAUCAAGUAGUCAAUUCAAAAGGCAAAAUUCGAGAGCAUCAAUCCCACAAAACGACGGUUAUUGAUUGCGAAGUUAAUAACACCUUUCGAAGAAAAGAAGAACCUUCUAUACCAAGCGUCAAAAAUCCUUACAUUAGAAAUUAAAAAAAAAAAACUAAAAACUAAUUUCCCUAGAAAAAGAGAAAGGAAAAAAAGGAUAAUUCGCCUACUUGAAAUUAAUUCUAAGUAACAAAUAUUUUAACAUCUCCCCAAAAGAAAGAAUUUAACAUUUGGGAAACAUCUAUUUAACAAUAUAUCAUCUCCCUUAAGUGAACUUUUAUUAUUACUUGAAGAAAGAAAAGGUGAUAACUACAGAAUAACACAUAAUGGUUUAAACAUCCUGACAUAUGAGAACUGCUUGUACUUUUCACAACAUUAGAUUUUCGUCAUACACUACAUACUGAAAAAGUCUAGCCAUUGAUUGAUAAAUUGAAAAAUAACAUAUAUAUGUGAUUAUUACCUUAAAAACAAGAGGUUCCACAUCCUCUACAACAACUUUCUCCAGAUUAGGGUUUCCAAUAGGACCAAAAAAUUGGGCUUUGAAUACUGGAGAACGAGCAGCAAGAACCUGCUUAUGAGCUCUGAACAUUUCGUCGACAACUUCAAAGACUAUGUCAGAACCAAUACCAGAUUUCAGUAGUUCCAUAAGGCAGUUUCCCAAAUCAGGUGGUGGGACAGGAAUGGUAAAGAGCCUUGGUGUUUCAAUGCGAUUCCUAACAACACCCACUGUGCAGUUCAUGAUUAGACAAUCAUCCUUUAAAUAAUCUGAUGUUUCUAAUGAUGCUCUUCUGUAAAACCGCUUGUAACCCCUAAAGUUACACAAACAAUUAUAUGAAAAAUCCAUAAGUUGAGUUGGAAGAAUAUAAUUGAAAAAAAAGCUUAGUAUAGACGAGAAUACAGCUGCAGAGUGCAAAGAAAAUCAUACAUAUCUGAAAAACUCAAACAGACUUGAAGAUUAGGCCAAAGUUAUUGAAUACUGAUAAACAAUAGUAUAUGUACUAAAUCAGAACAAACCCCCUCUCCUAAUCUCACUACCUGAUGGUCAUCAGGUAGACACAUUCUUGGCAAGGGAACUUCCUAUUAUUUCUGCUCCUAUCACCUCCCAAAUCCAAAAAUAACAAGGUCAGCUUCUAUCUACCCUUUUUCUUUUUUUACUUUUAUAUAUCCUAUUCCGCCAUUUGUGUCAUAGUACCAAGAUAUCAGGCUAUCACCGACAAUCCCUAGAGCAAGUGGCAAAGGGCUUGGUCCUUGCCUCCUUGGCACCCGCGGUCCCAAGUUCGAAUCCUAGUUGAUUCACAUUUCCAGCUAAGUUUAUUUCUAAAUGAAAUAAACGAAGCGGGUAGCAUGCUACCUAUAUCUCAAAAAAAAAAAAAGAUAUCAGGCUAUCUCCCGGAAGUAUCAUAACCUUCAUAUCAAGGCACAUGGAGGCUUAAUCAGAUAUGAAGUUAUUCCAUCCUUAUACGUCUACGUGACUAGCCAGCUAAGCUAGUAGAAAAAUAUAAACAUAAGUACAUAGAUAUCUAUAUGGAUAUCUAAUACAAAUUAUAUAAGUAGGCAAACAUACACAUAAUAAAAGCAUAUAGCCAUACGAACUUGGCUCGCCCCCCUCGCAUUUUGUAUAUUGAUUCAAAGAUUAUUCUGUGAAGAUUUGCUGCGAAAGUUUAAGGAUAAUUUAGAACUCCUACAGUUAAAUGCUCUUUACAUGCCCACAUACGAGUUCCUGCUCUUCAUUAUCUCGUUUGCUAAAGCAAACCAGUGUGCUUUGCAUAUAUAGCUAAAGGCAUACGCAAAUCCUUAAACAAGAGAUUUACAGCAAACGCAGAAAUCAAAAUGCCCAUCACACACAAGAAUUUCUUAUAUAAGUUCAAGCAGUCAAUAAGUUGUUUCGUAUUUAUACCUAUCUACUUUCCUAUCUUCCAAACAAAAGCUUCCAACAUACUAGAUCAAAGUAUCUCAACGGGAAUGACAAUUGAUGUAUCUUUUGCAGAAAAAUUACACAAAAAGACAGUAAACGAACCGCAAUGCACCCAAUUUUCUCACUACAAAGAGCAUAAUCUCAUCCAAGCCUAAAAUCAAAUCAAACGAAAGCCAAACACAGAACUAGAUCUGAGAAACUAGGGCAUCGACAACAAGAUCACGGAGAGGGAUAACGCGUACCACAUGCUCCCGCGAUACUUGAGGGUGUAGGGCCCUCCUUCGAGGGCCCGAUCGAAGUGGCUGUGCACCUUGUGCUUCCCCUUACCGCUCUGAUCGAGCAGCGUGAGCUCGAACAGCGCCCGCACGUCCGUGCCCUCGCUCGCGAGCGCGAUGAACACGGACACGUACUGCGCGUUGUCCUCGGGGUUCUUCCCGUCGGGGUAGAAGUACACCGCCCACUCGUACCCACCCACGGUGAACGUAUCGCUCGCCAUGUACUUCCCCGUCCCCAUCCCCUUGGCCAGCGUGAAUCCCUUCACCGUGUAGCAGUGCGAUCCGUUCACCGUCUCGCACACCGACUUCGACCACGACGCCGCCGCGGAAUUGGAGCCGCCGCCGCUUCCGCCGCCUUGCUCCUCCUUAGGCUUCGCCAUCUCAUCGGAUUCCGAAACCCUAGACCGCGAAUUACCGUAAUCUCCCGAAUCCGACGCUACUCCGGAACCCCGAGAUUGGAAUGGCGGGGAAUUGAGGGGAUUUGAUAUCCAAAUAUAGGGUUCGGAGGGAUUCGGAGAGAUAGGGUUUUGAAGGAUUGGGAAAGGUGAGAUGGUGUCGUCGGAGGAGAAGGACGAAGAGGAAAAGGAGUAGGUGGGAAACGGAAGGGGGAAUUAAAACGAAGAUAAUGAUAGAGUUGCGGAUGAGUCGAUUCGUGUGGAUGCGUUUUUAUGAAUCGGUGAGUUCGUUCGGGGCUAAACCUUGUCUCGCGCAACUCAAAAAAAAAAAAAAAAAAAAAAAGGGUUCCGUUUUAUACACCAUUAGUGACCAAAAUAAAAUAAAUAUAUAUACAUGCUUAUGAAGUAAUUGGAAUCAUAUUGUGAUUUACAUAAAUAGUAACAAUAGCAUAAAUGCACCAUAAGACAAAUUUGCCAAAUGAGCAUGUGGAAUUAAUCAAUAUCAAUAAUAAUAGUCAUUAAAUAGGAAAUCCAUAUUGUGUGCAAUAUGAACUCUUCCGAAUCAAUCUAUCUAGAUGAUCCAACAAGUUUAUUCAAUUUAAGCAAUCAACAAAUACUAGUGAAGGGACCCGCGCUUUGCAGCGGAUAGAAACCGUAGCAGUAAUUAAUAAUAUGAAAAUAUCAAACAUUCUCAUGUGUAUCUCACUUGGUACAUCCACCAAAGGUCUCUCAAUGUUGGCGGAGGAUAUGGACCCGACGAUGCCUUCUUCGGCGAUGGUGAUAGUGACGGCGACAACAAUCCCUCAGACCGCGGCGGAAGGGGAAAGUGGGCGCGCAUUCAUGAGAGAGAGAGAGAGAGAGAGAGAGGAAAGGAGGUGAUGGUGUAUAGCAAAAGAUGAGAGAUAGAGAAUUGAUGAAUAGAUUGAAGAUAAAGAAUUGAAAGUCCAGUGAGGAAAGAAAAAAGGUCAUCAUGAGUAAUUAGAGAUAAAGAUGUUAGGAUUGUAGAUGGUAAUGGCACUCUUUAAAUAUAUGAAUUGGAAGUUAGGUAGUAGGACCGUUUGCAUUAAUUGAAAUAUAAUGGAGGGAAGGGAAAUGGUCAUUAUGAAUAAUUGUAGAUAGAAACGAUACAAUUGAAUACACUACUUGAAAGUUUGAUUAGUGGGACCGUUAAAAUGUAUAUUGAAAAUUUGGUGAAUGAAAGAAGAAGAGUCACAUGUUAGUGAGGGUGAAGAAAAACUUGCCACGUGGCAAUAAAUAUUGGGAAUUCAUAUAGGUUAAUAGAUAAUAUGAUUUUAUAGUUAAAUAAGUAUCUAAGCAAGUUAGAAUAUUCAAUGUCCAAAAUUAAGUUAUUGACUCCUAAACAUUUGGUGAAUAUUUACUCACUUGGCUUGUAAUAUUUGAAUUUUACUUUAUUAGGUUAUUUCUAAAACCCUCAUAACUAUUCCGGACAGAAGGAUUAUAAUAAUAAUUAAUUUAGCCGUUGCAUUAUCUCUCAUGUACGUUAUACAAGUACAAAUUCUAAUUACACUAUCUAAUUUGAAACACAACAAAUUUACAGGUAGGAGGCUCAUUCGGAUGUAACUUAGUGUGUGUUUGAUUCCUAAAAAAUUCUUCUUGAAUUUUUUUUUAGCUUAAAAAGUAAUUUUUUGAUAUUUGAUUGCUCGUAAAAAAAAUUUUAAUUUUUUUGUAUAGAUUCGCCGAGAACAACAAGUUUUCAUUUUUCAUUUUUCCGUGGAAGAGCAGAAAAUGAAAAAUGAUGUUAAAAUACACGCCGCUUAUGACCUGAUGCACAUGUGGUCCACGAGGUCAUCUUCAUCUUGUGGACCACGUGAGAGUGUAUACAUGGUUGACCCGUGGACUCUCUCUUCCUCUUCCAUAGUAUAAAUAUAUGAAUUAAGCUGGAAUACUAUCAAUAGUACGAAGUUAUCGAUGUUAUUAAAUUUUCGGCUCUUGAAUGAAAAGAAUGUAUGGUUAGAAUGAUGUGGGCACUCUAGGGAUUGAGUGAAUUAUUAGUUGAAUAAUAUAAUAUAAUAUGUGAAAGUAGUCAAAGGGUUAAAUCUAAUGGUGAAAAACUCAAUAGUACUAAGUGCUUGAUGCUAUCAAUAGUAUAACAGCCUGACUCAUAUAAAUAUAUUAUAGAAAAUUUUAUUUUUUAUAAAAAUAUAUUAUUGUGUAAUAUUUUAUAUAUAAAUAUUAGUUAUAAAUAUAUAUAUAGUAAUUUAUUUUAUAAUAUUAAAUAUAUAUUAUUAUUAGACAUGAUAUUACAUAUGUAUUAUAUAAUAUAUUUUUAAUAUAUUUAUAAAUAAAAUAUACAUUAUAAUAAUAAUAAUAAAUAUAGUAUGAUAAUUAUUAUAUACCAAUAAUAUAUAAUAUAUAAAAUAAAAAAAUGCAUGUAUUAUUUCUUAUUUAUAAAUAUAUUAAAAAUAUAUUAUACUAUAGAAAAAGAAAGGACAAUUUGGUCAUUUUACCCUUCACUUUACUCCCUCAACAUUCCAAAAUAUACAUUAUAAUAAUAAUAAUAAAUAUAGUAUGAUAAUUAUUAUAUACCAAUAAUAUAUAAUAUAUAAAAUAAAAAAAUGCAUGUAUUAUUUCUUAUUUAUAAUUUUUUCUUUUUUUUCUUUUAGUCAAACAACAGUAAUGAAAAUUUAGUUUUUUUUCGUAUAAAUCAAAUGCUAAAAAACGUAAAACUUAUUUUUCUCUAUAAAACUUUUUUUUUCAUCCAAAUUUUUUUUCAUAGUUUCCAGUGAAACAAACGCAACCUUAACUUAUUUUGGCUCUAAAACAUUACACUUCCCUUAAAAGCUAAAAUAUUUUGGGCGGUCCAGAGAUGAUGUGGCGAAUCAGGUCCGCGCAAGAGUUUUCCGUUUCGCUUAAGUUAGUCCCACAUCGGAAGCUUACAUUGUAAGAGAGGAGGUGGGGAGGGUUUAAAAGGGUGCGUUCGGGCAACGUAAAACAUACUUACCUGGACGGGGUUAAUGGGUGAUCAGAAAGGCCCAUGACCUGGGCCCGCGGUCCACAUUGCACUUGGUGGGUGCGCUGGUCUACCAUCUCCCCAAGUGGGAGAAUGGACGUUGUAAUUUGUGGAAGAGGGGGUACGCGCCACGCGCGGCCCCUGCCAAAUCUCUAAUUUAAAAUUUUAAAUACAAAUUAUUUCGAAAUUUAACAUAAAUUUUACUCAGACAACUAAAUUAUAUUUGAAAAUUUAGUUUUUUCUUUGAAUUCGACUUAAAUUUUAAUUAGGUUACUCUUAAAUUUUAAAAGUGUUUCACAGUUUUUUUGAAAAUUAAAUUAGAUGGGAAGUUGACUUAAAUUUUAAUUAGGUUGGUAUGAAUGUAUAAUAUUCAAAUCAAUUUGGACGGGAUCAAGUUACUGAAACCUGUCUCAUAGCAAAAGGAGUCCUUUGGAGUAGAAUUUUGACAUAGCAUUACGAUUUUGGCUUUGUUCAAGAUUUGUAAUAUUCUAAUAAUUUUUUAUAUUUUUAUUAAAAAUGUUUAAAUUAUGAUAAAUUCUCAGAUAACAAAAAUACUAUAUUUCUAUGAAUUAAGAGGAAUUCUCAUUUUAAUAUUUGAUUAAAAAUAUCAGUGGAUAAGAAUAUAUUAAUUUUUAGCAACAUUCCAAUCCAAUGGUUUAAUGAGCUAGUAAUAAAUUUUUUUAUUCUAAAUAUUAAAUACACAAUAUUUUUGAAAUAUUACAAAUGUAUGAACCAAAUGGCCUCUUAUUGCCAUAACAUAUUUAUCAAAUUCUGGUGAUUCAUAUUUAUUAGAUCAUAGUUAUUUGUUUUUUUUUUUAGAGAGAAAGAUAGCAUGCUAUCUGUUUUGUUAAUUUUUUAAAAAAAUAAACUUAGCUGGAAAUAUGAAUCAAUUAGGAUUUGAACUUAGAAACCUCAGAUACUAACCACCAAAUCUUUUGUCGCUUGCGCUAGAGACAGUCAAUAUUCUAAUAAUUUGUAUUCUUGCUGAACGUUUAUGUGAUACCAGUACAAAGAAAGAUAUCUCAGAAAAAAGCUCGCUACACUUUCUCGGUAAAAGAAUUUGGCCGAGUUUAAUGCAAGAAAUCUAGCUGCUCUCUCCAAUAUAGGGAUGCAAAUGGGCAGAUUCGAGGGCGGAAGGGUUCUCCACAUCCCGCUCCAUUUUUUUUCAGGACGGGACGGAUUUGAAACGAGUUAUUUUUUAUUUUGUUUUUUACUCCCACUUAUCAGGACGGGAGCAAAUUUUGAUGAAUUUUUGAUGGAUCAAGAGAGAUUGAAGAAAGAAAAGGAUCACCCGCCUUCCAUUCCAUUUACUUAGCAUAUUGGGACGGAUUCGAAACAUAUUAUAUAUUUUUAUAUUUUCUAUUCUCAGUUACCGUUUCAUUCAGAAUGGAUCGGAGCGGGAAUUCCACCAAUCCAGAUCCAUUUGCAUCCCUACUCCAGUUCCGCGCAUAUACGAGAGUGCACGAUGAAGACAAAAAAUAAAAAUAAAAAUAAAAAUUGGAGGGGUUCAAGUUCAUGAAUGCUUCACAUAUAAACAAUGUUCAUGUUUCCCAUUCAAGGAUUUUUGCCCCUAUCAACGUUCGUUCACAGUGCCGACCAUGCAGAUAAGCCCGUGUCACCCUAUGGCUACCGUCUCAACAUAUCAAAGAGGAUUUCGCGACGAAACGUGCCACACCGUUUGGCGACGCACUAGCAUACUGUAGGCGACACACUCACGCGACAAACUGUUGCUCUCGACUAUCCCUUGAAUAAAUAAACAAAAGUCUAUUAAUAUUCACUUAGCUAUCCUUCUCAAGUAGCAUUAAAAAAAAAAAAUAAUGAUCAUGGAAUGCGUACUUAACAGAUAUUUAAUGUUCAAUAUUUUAGAAGAAAUAUAGAUUUGUGGAGGAGGUCAAGAGAGUUUGGAUGCAUACACUAAAGAACAGCACCCAAGGAGCAACUGAAAAGGAUAUAACUAAGUGUGGCAGCUUGUUGGUUGAUAAUUUGGCGAAAAAGAAAUAAUGUGAUUUUUAGAAAUGAAUUUUUCCACACUUUAGUGACUAUUAGACGAAUUCAUGAAAUGAUAAAAAAAUGGAUUAAGUUUUGCAGCUUUAGCUGGCACGUUUUUUGAGAGAGGGGUGUAAACUUUUUUUUUUCCUCUCUUUUGCUUUGGUUCUAUCUUUACUUAUGUAGUUGUUUGACUCACACAAGACCUCAUUAUUUCAACAUCUAUAGCAUAAUUUAUUUUCUAAAUAAAUGAAGCGGGCGGCGUACUACUUUUAUCAGGAAAAAAAAAAAAAGAUUAAUGGUCCUUUAACUGGGUGUGUAAAUACAGGUCACUGCAUGAAUGAAUGGUGGGGUACAAUUAAAAGCCACAACCAAGUUGGUCCAAACAGAGAAUGAACGGGCCCACUGAUGACCUCGUCCGCAAAGAAAACAGCAAAUGGGUCGGGCCCGCCACGUCCUUCCUUUCGGAUCCGGCCCACUAACGGUACGGCUCACGCGAGCAAAAGCGGCUCGGGGCGGACCCGUACCCGAAAAUCGGAUCCCCGGGUAGUGAAUUAUCACUGCGACACACCCGAACCCACAGUUGAGAAAAGUGCCGUGGACAUGCACAAGGAUGCUUUCAACCAAAAGUCCAAUCAAUUUCCAGAGCAAACGUUACCUACCGUUUCUUACGCAAGUGGCGAAAAAUUUAGUGAUUGGCAUCUGAGAUUUCGAGUUCGAAUUCUAUUUGAUUUAUAUUUUCAACUUAGUUUAUUUAUAAAUGAAAUAAAUAAAGCCGCUAACAUAUAUACUACUUAUCUCCCAAAAAAAAAAAAAAUUCUGAGCUAAUGUGUAUACUUAUAAUAUAGGUAUAAAUUUCAUACUUUAAAUCUCAAAUAGUCAAAUGCCUAAAUUUGCUUGUCUCAUGAGCUUAAUUUUUAUUGUACUAAAAAUUUAAAAAAAAUUUCAAUUAUCAUAUGAUUAUAUGUGUAAAAUGUACACCCUAUAAUAGAGUGUAUAUAUAAUGUUUAUUUUGUGGAUCCAUCUCAUCAAGCAAAAUAACUAAUUUAAUAGUUAGUUUAAUCACGUGAUCUUGCAAAAUUCAAAACAAAACAAAAAAACUAUUUCUUCAAUGAGAAAGGUUAUAUGUACACUCAAAAGUAAGUUGUAGGUCUUAUGCCCCUCCAUCAAACUAUCGAAGCAUCCAUUUGAAUUUCUAAUACUUAAAGAAUUUUAUAAGCCUAUUAUAAAAUUAUUGGUUCGUAGGUGAAUAAUAUCUAAAAUUAAACUAAUUUUUUCAGAGUAAAUUAUUUUAUGUUUUUGGUACAAAUGUAUAAAACUUAUCUAAACUACACAAUAUUUUGAUUUGACUACCUACUUUUGUAAAAUUUUAAUUUCACUAUUUAAUUUUUUAAUUUAUUUGAUUUAAGUCAUUUCAUGAUUUUCAAUACAAAAUUUAAAUUAAUUAUUUACUUUAAUAAAUUUAUAGUUAUAUGAAUUGCAUCAAAUAUACUAAUUAAGUUUGAAAAGAUAAGGCACGCAUUUAAAUUUUGAAAUUAAAGAGUCAUUAACUAGCUCAAAUUAAAAAAAUCAAAAGAUUCAAUGGCAAAAUUAAAAUUUUAAAUAUCAUAUAAUCAGAUUUUGAGGAAUAUUUUUUUGAGAGAAAGAUAAUAAACUCUUAAAAUAAACUCAGCUAAAAAUAUAAAAUAACUAAUUAAACUUAGGAUCUCGACAUCAAAUAUUAAGUUUUUAACUGCUGCGUUAGAUACAGUGGAUCAAAAUAAUAAGUAAUAGUUAAAAGAUAAAUUCUCUAUAUUUCUAUCUUUACAUUUUUAGGUAGUAUUUGGUUCGGAUAUAAAGAGGAAAAUAAGCCCUCCUUAUGCCCAAAAGUUAUUUUCAAGGUUGAAAAAUUAUAGUUUUUCAUAAUUAAAAACAAGAAAGAAUAAUUGUGGUAUAGCUGUUUCACUCUUCUACUGAAAUAAGUUUUUUUCCAAGUGAGAACAAACUUAGUUAAAAUUUAAAUCUAAUUCUAAUUAUUGUAUCAACUUAUUAAUUAAUUCAAUCAAUAUAUUUAAGUCAUUAUCUAUUGUUUAUAUAGUUAAGUAAUUAAUUAAUUUAUUAUUUAUGAUUAAUUAACUCAUUAAGGAUUAAUUAUUUAAUAUAUUUAUUUAAUAAUUGAUAUCUAUAUUAGUCAACUAGUUAAGUUAAUUUCUUAAUAAAUCAUCUAACUAAUUAAAUAAUUUACUAAUUUAAUUAAAAAGUUAAAAUAGAUUUUAUAAUUAAUUAAACAAAUAAUUAAUUAAUAAUUUUUUGUUAUCUUAUACCGUAUUCAUAACUAAUAAUUUUUUAAUUUAUUUUUAAUUAAUAUUCUAAUAUUACAUAAUUAGAUAAAAUAUUAUUAAUUUAAAAUUAUAAUUAUUUUUUUUUCUAAUCUAACCAUCUAAAUACUAUUUAUUUUAUUUUUAGAAACAAUUCAAUUUCUUUAAAUUUAUAUUUAUUUUGGGAUAAAUUUCAAAUAUCAUCCCUGUGGUUCCGCACUUUCUCACUUUAGUACUCUAUGAUUUAAAGUGUACCAAGUUAGUACCAUGUGCUUUUAUUAUUUUUCUUUUCGUCAGCUCCUUCUUUAGUAUUUUGCUAAAUUAUAUACAAAAAAUUUCAAAUAUCCCACAUAGAUUUAUCGAAUAUUCACUUUAGUACCCUUUAGUUUUAACUUUGUUACUAAUUUAACGAAGAAAAAUUAAUGAAAUGUAUAAUUUAAAAAAUAAAACUAUAUGAUACUAAAUUGAUACACUUUAAAUUAUAAAAAAUUAAAAUAAAAAAAAUAAAAUUACAGACUCGAUGAUAUUUGAAGUUUUUUUUAUUUUUUAAAAUAAGCCGUUUUUAUUUGUAACUGAAGAUGCCGUUUGGAUUAGAUACAAGAGGGGAGUUGUACCCAAAUAUAAAAAUAGGUGGAUUGGAACAAUAGUUCCCACCCAUACCGCCGGUAUAACCUGGUAUAGGUGGGAACAACUUGUUCCCGCCCAAACAAGCUUGUUCCAACGGAUAGAGAGAGAGAUAUUUUUAUUUUAAGUUAAAAAUUUAAAUUUUUAAAAUUUAAAAUUUGUAAUCUCAAAAUCCAAAUUUAUAAUUUAAAAUUUUAGAUUUUAAAGUUUAAAUUUUAAAUUUUAAAAUAUAAAAUUUUAAAUUUAAAUUUGGUCUUAAAUUUAAAUUUUGAUUUUUAAAAUUAAAAUUUUAAAUUUUAAUUUUAAAAUAUAAAAUUUAAAAGUUAAAAAUUUUAAAUUUUAAAUUUAAAAAUUUCAAUUCAAAUAGAAUGAGAGGCGUAAUAUCAUUAUUUUUUAUUUAUAACAUCAACUAUUCUUCUUAUUCCAUCUUAUCUAUCAAAACGUUAUUUUUUUUUUAUUUUCAAAAAUAACUAAAUUUUUAUCCAAAUACAAAAUUAAUUUAAUUCUCGCUUAUAUUUAAAUUUGUACUUACUUUUAGUAUAUAUUUGUUUUUACUUGUUUCCGAACCAAACGAGGCCGAAAGAAACGAAACGUUUGAAGGGAAUUCGUGCGACCCGCGAGAGGAUUCCCGACGCGUAAUAUUCCGAACAGACAGAAGAAAGGCACGCUCGCCACCACAUGGGACAGUCUGGCGACUGAGCUCUUAGCCUCACACACUCCGAGUCCGAUCGACGGAUAACCCCCUCAUCGACCUCACCAUUCCCACUCCCUCUCCCUCUCCCUCUCCCUCUCCCUCCCAUCCUCUCGUCGUCGUCGUCGUCCUCCUCCUAACCCUAACCCCUCCUCCCUUUCCUAGUUCGGACACCUCGACCUCUCCAUGGCGCUAAAUCUCCUCGAAUCCGUGUGGCAGGUACCGUUUACGCGCGAAUCGUUGAUUCGCUGAUGCAUGCUUUCAUUCCCGACCCGAGAUUUAGAGGAGUUGUUGGGGAUGAGAGUUGGAGGAUUUAGGAAUGUGGCUUUUUUAGGUUGAUCUGAUUGUGCGUUUGUAGUUGUCGGGGAUUUGGAAUGGGGAAUAUGGUGCUUAUGAGAAUUUUGGUGAGGAUUCUAGUGUUGACUUGUGCAUCUCUAGUAUGUUCGGAGUAGCGCUUAGAUGCGGAGCUUGUUCUGGUGCGGUUUUUGUGAUUUUUGUGUAGCUGCACUAGUAAAUUGUUUAUCAGAUUCGUAAUGCUGAGGUUUGCCCGGCUUCAGAGCACAUUUAGUGUUUUAAUUGAGAAGGGAAAUACCGCAAAUAUGGAUUUUUCAUAGUUUAGGGGCACUAAUGAGUACCCAGGAUCAAAUGCAGGAAACUGAUCUCUGUGAUGUUUUAAAAUUAGAUUAAGCGCCGUGCAAGUAGCCUAGCACCAAAUUACCAGAAACUGGUUCUGGAUUCCUAGCCUAAACUAAUGAAAAAAGAGAGGGAUGCGAAAUGCCAAGCAUUUAGGAUAGUUGAUGAGUCGGCAAAACCACCUUUCAUAUGCAAUUUAGGUUCAUACGACCAAAAUAAUCCUUUUGUGAGAACUCUUCGAGGCAUAGUAAUCGUACAUGGGGGGAGAUUGCUAGCGAUUGAUUUAGACAAUUGUUGCCGUCUUUAGGUGCUGUUACUUUGAAGAGCCUAACAUCACCCAAUCCAUUGCAGUUUGUCUUCUUUACUUUCAAUAUCUAGAACUGUCUUUGUCGAAUACCCGCUGUUUCUUUUCAUUGAUAUUUACUUAAGUUUUUUCUGCUGCAGUAUCUGAUCACUAAUUUCAGCGAAUUUCAAUUGGCAACCUUGGGCACUUUCAUAAUACAUGAAAGUGUCUUCUUUUUGUCCGGCCUUCCAUCUUUGCUCUUUGAGAGGUCUGGGCUUUUCAGCAAAUACAAAAUUCAGGUCCGCUCUACUUUUCCUUUGUUGCCGUUGAAGAAACUGUAUAAGUUUUUCAUGCAUUUCUUUGCACUUAGGGGUGUCAAUGACCUCUGUAGAAUUUACUGUGUAUUCUCAUUCUUCAUAUUUUCAGCAGCAACUAGCAGUACUAUCAUGCUAUACUAACUUUAACUUGGUUUGUUAAUAUUAUCACAGGCUGUUUUUUUUCUUUCACAUUAAUUGCGAUUUGUUUGGGAGAUUUAUCUUUGACAAGCAACAUGUAAUUCUUUGCAGAAAAAAGCUAACACCCCUGCUUCACAAGACAAAUGCGUUCUGCGUCUAAUUCUGUAUCAUAUCUGCGUGAACUUACCGCUUAUGAUUGUGUCCUACCCUGCUUUCAAAUUCAUGGGCCUGAAAAGCAGUGUACCAUUGCCGCCUUGGUAUUCACUAGCUUCCUUGAAUGUCGAAGUUUAUAAAUAUUACUCGUCUGCGUAUUCAAUCUUUCUUAUCAGUUUUUUCUUUUCCCAUCGAAGUUUUCUCUGAAAAAAUGUUAUUGCAAGAAACUUAUUGGCAUUUUUUAUAUAACGACUAUAUUUUUUUGAAUAAAAACAUGCUGAAGUGAAACUUAUUAAUGUUGGAAUAAAGGAAUACUUGUAUAUAUAAGUUUUUUGAAUUGUUAGUUAUCUCUUUCUGUAGGACUGUUGUCCUAUCUCAAAUUCUUUUCUACUUCAUCUUGGAGGAUUUUGUAUUCUAUUGGGGGCACAGGAUUCUGCAUACAAAAUGGUUGUACCAGCAUAUUCACAGUAUUCAUCAUGAGUAAGUAGUAUCAUUUCCUUAAAUCAUUCCUUUGUUACUUUUUUAUUCCUCUUAUUAUUAGGAAGUACGUGCAGAUAUGCUACACCAUUUGGAUUGACUUCCGAGUAUGCCCAUCCUGCUGAAAUAUUAUUCCUUGGCUUUGCUACCGUUGUUGGACCUGCUCUUACUGGGCCUCACCUGUUGACUUUGUGGCUGUGGGUAGUAUUAAGAGUCUUGGAGACGGUUGAGGCUCACAGUGGAUAUCACUUCCCAUGGAGCCCAUCAAAUUUCUUGCCACUGUAUGGAGGGUUAGUAAUGCUUUGCUUAAAACUUGCUUGGGCCUUUUUCCUGUGCACUUAUCAUGCACUUAUCAUGAGUUGACACUUAAUUGUUGCUUUUGUAGUGCCGACUUUCAUGACUACCAUCACCGUUUGCUUUAUACCAAGUCCGGAAACUACUCAUCUACUUUUGUCUACAUGGACUGGUGAGUGUUUCUCUCUUGUUGUAUCCACUGUUUGAUUAACUAGAGAAGCAGUAAGUGUACAUGGUCAGAAAGCUUUUUGCUGUGACGAAUUUAUUAUUAGUAGUUACAAACCACUUGGCUGUUCUCUUAGCACAAGUUAAAAUUGUUUCUCUAAUAAACUAGCACAGAUUUGUUUGCCACUAUUUUGAAAUUAUGAUGUUUGGGUCCAUAAAAAAGGAGAAGGAAAGGGUUGCACUUUGAAAUGGGUGCUUGAACUGAAAAGGUCUUCAUUUUACUAUUGAAAUAGGUACAUGGGAAUUUCUAAUGAAUUUUUCAGGCUAAGUAUGUCUAAGAUUAGGAAAAAGGGCAAGCGGUCUUUACUUAACCAAAACAUAAGAAUUAAGAAACAAUUGUAUUUGAGGGCCAGAAGUGUCAAAAAUGGGGAUCAAUACCUUGGAUCUGUAGCUCAGCAAGAAAAACAGAUUGAAGAGCAUAUAGGUGGUUAAAUUGUGAAAACGGAGAAGAGUUAUCAGGACAAUGUUGCACGAGGAACAUGUUGACUUAUUCUUGAGAGUUGCUAUGGUAGUGACUUGACGAGGUAAACUUAUGGAACCAGGGAUCACCUCCCUAGUGAUUAUUAAGCAAAAUCUCUCUCUCUCUGUCUCUCUCUCUCUCUCUCUCUCUCUGAAUGCUAUGAAGCUGUUUGAGCGAGCCCUCACUCGAAUUUCUGGAACAUAUAUGACAUUCUUUCUAUUGGUAGUUUCCUCUUGAGUUUGACGGCUCCUGGUGUGUUGAAAAAAGUAUGGUGUUCUCUUGUAAUAAUGUGUGCUUCUUACACCCUGACUUCCAGUACUUCAAAAUCUUUGAAAGUAGAAAGUGUACUGUUUGUCCCCGUAUAACUCUCUCACGCCCUGACUUCUGUGCAGCGCUUGUUGAUUUACGUACAAUUUCCGCACUUGUCGUACUCUGAUGCUUCAUAUCUCAUUACGUUCGGCAUAGAAUUAUAAGUAAUUUGAUAAUGCUUAUGUUUCUUCCUUUUUAUUUUGUGAUUGAACAGGUUCAUUUUAUAGGUUUUCAUUCAUGAAAGUUAUCAUGAUAAUCAAUUGUACCUUUCCUUGUUCUUUAACAGGUUAUUCGGCACCGACAAAGGCUACCGCAAGUUGAAGGCCCUUGAGGAUGAACAAAGGAAACAAUUAUAGAUUGCAGAAGGUCGACUUCUCACUUCCGGUGGCAACUCCUGAAUCCUGAUAGCAUAUGAAUGAGUUAGAUCUGUUGUACCUAGAUUUCUUUCAUUUGGAUAGUGCAUGAUCAGGCUUAACAACUGUCAUAAUUGGACGCCUAUGAUUGAGUUGUUGGUUGCCCUUUCUCAAGAAUGGAUGCGUCUUUCCCAUGCGCGGCUCAUGUUGGUGUAAUUAUGCGUGCAGAACUCUCUCUAAGUUUCCUUACUGAAGAUGAGUAGUUCUGUUAAAAGGCUUUGUUGCAUAUUAUUGUUCAAAUCCAGGAAAAAUCUGAUGAUUCCAACUAAUCUUUCCUGGGUCAAAUACUUGAAUGUUGAGAUGAUAUCGAUUUUAGUUUUGAUGGAUCAUAUGCAUGCUUUGGUAACUUCAAUCGUGUGAUCUAUGUAUUAUUGGAAUAGUUUAGUUAAUCUUUAUUGGAGAAUUUAGUGCACCAGGAGUCCUCAGCUUCUUGUAGCAGUGUGUUUUGUAUGCUCUUUUUGCCUUUUUGUCUUUUUUUAAUGUGUUUAAGAACUGUUUUUUGCUCUUUUUUGCCUUGUUUGUUCCAAAAAGAAUGGCCUGUUGAACAGUAAACCAUUUUUAAGCUGGUAAGGGGCGAGCCAAACAGCCAAAGCCUCAUCUAAUUCUACUUGCACAUCUAGAGAAAGUGAGAUAGCAAGACAACUUAAAUUUAGGUUGGUGGGGGUAUAUGGCCCAAUAUUUUCUCAUUGCGUUCGAUAAAUAGAAAAUCUCGAGUUUUUGCUGUGUCUAAAACUAGAUAUUAUUACUUUUGAUCUUUAAGUUGAAAAUUCUAUUCGAGGUUUCUAUAUUGCGUGGGCUGUGUUGACAGUUUCGAAGAGAACUAUUUUUUGGGCUUGUUUGGUUCAUAGACUAUGAAAUCGAAAUAGUUGUUUGUUUUACAGGACAUUCCACUCUGUAAUAAAAAUGAUCUAAUCUACUUAUGGUUCAAUUCGGUUUUGAUUUUUAAAUUGGUCUAUUUCUAUGUAAACCAUUCAAUUUUUUUUUUCUCACGAACAGCUCCCUCUUCCCUUCUUUCAUUACUCUUCUCUUUCUUAACUAAAACCAUUAAAAUAUUUGUGGAUGAUUUGUCAUUUCAUUAUUUCAUUCCCGUGCAAUCUAAUUUUAUUUUUUAUUUCUAUUUUAGUUAUGGACCUAAUAUGUCUUUAACGUUUUGUUAAACAUUAUUGAGAUUAAAAAAAAAAAAAAUUAGAGUGUUCGCAUAUUAUUCUUUGAUCAUGAGUCUUGGCAUCGAAGUUCCCAUGAUUUUUUGUCUCUUUGUUUGGAUCUGUUAUCAAAAAUUAAUAAAGAGAAAUCAUUUAUGUAAAAUUGGAUUGGAAUACUGUUAAUAGAAUUUAGGCUCUUUUGAUAUCGAGUUUUUAAUUAUUGGAUGAAAAAUUAUAGGAUUAGAAUAAUAGUGGUCUCCCUAAGAUUUAGUAGUAUAAAUUUUUAGGAUUGAAUGGGUGGUUAGUUGAAUAGUAUGAUCUAAAUAUUGAAAUUGAUUAAAAUGUAAAUCUAAUGGCUAAAAAAUCGAUAGCAAAAGAGCUCAAAUAUUAGUAAUAGCAUUCCAGCUUAAGAGUAGGGCUAGAAUACUUUUACAAGUAUCACCCAAGUAAUACUUGUGUGUUUCUAGCCCUUGGAUGGAGAGAUGUGAGGUUGAGAUGAUGGUGGUAGGUGGUGGUAGAUGGUGGUAGGUGGAAUAAUGUUUGAUCCAAGGGCUAUUUGUAAUCAAAAAGUAAAUCCAAUGGCUAAAAACGUGAUAGCAAUAUGGGGAUGAUACUUGUAAAAGUAUCCUAGAUCAACUCCCAGCUUAACUCCAAUUAUAUACUCCACAUUUGCAAACACUGGCUAUGCUUAAUAUAUAUAACUGGCGAAUCACUAUACCAAAUGUGUAAGCUAAACUAUUGGUAAUUAAUGAGUAAUUGCCGUAGAUGACUACUACAUGCCUAGUAAUAAGGUGACAUGCUCAUUAAUAGAGAGAGGGGGGGUUAGUGCUUCUUAUUCGCUUAAAAACGUGUGACAAUUAAUGACAUAGACUCUAAAUCUAAGACUCAUAGUCUCAACCACACCCAAUUAAAGCGUUGAAAUUAUAAAGGAUACGACCUUUACAAUAUUCGAGGACAAUUUGCUCAUAUAUACUGAGUAAUUAAUGGAGAGAUCUCCCACAUUAAUCCAAAGUUUGGUAUAGUAGCAUCUAAUACUUGUAAGAGCUGACCUUCAAAAUAAACUUAAUAAGAAGGCACUUGUAGGCACCAAAUUUAACCAAUUUAUACAAUCGAAAUAUAAAAGGCCACAACUUUGACAACUUUGGACAUUUUGAUUCCAAGCGGCGAUAUAUAAACACCAUCUUAUUUUUCUUAAGAUGUCGAUAAUAUUGCACAAUUCAAUUAACUUCAUUUUUUUUAGACACAAUUUAAUAUUUUUGAACCUACAAAGCUUAAUACACACCAACAUUUCUUAAACAACAUAUGCUAGCAAUCGGAAAUGUUUAGAUUUUGCUACUACUACAAGUACGUAUAGGAAAAAAGUGAUUUCAAAUAAAUUAUUUGAACAACAGAACGUCUCUUGGUGUAAUACUUUAAGCACCUAAAAUUCCAUCUAUUCUCUAAAACGAUAACCUCCAACAAACUCUUUGUAGGCAAUACUGAUACAUAACUAGCUCCAGCUCGGCCAAAAAGAUUUUUGGAAACAUCAUCAAUUAGCGCAAUCAAAUAAUUCUAACUUAUAUAGCAUCUUACUCAAGAUCUCGAAGGGAGAAUCUUUUUCAUUAAACAAAUGCGUGGUUCCUUUGUUGUUACACGAAUAUUUCCACACCAACACAUUUCUUUCGUGGCGACAAUGACCCCCCUAAUUCGUGACGUAUAAGCUGGUCAAUCUCCGGGAAUGUAUUGUGCUCCCCCUCAAUUAGUCAAUGAUUUAAUUCGCAAAAAUAAUUUAAAAAAAACCCCCAAUUGAUUUAAUGGGCUUAAUUUAUCAUAUCAAUCGUUAUCACAAGCAAAGCAACUAGCUUAGCCAAUCCCACAGGUGGCUUCUAGGAAAAAGCAGCUGCUGCGUUAAAAAGCGCUUCACGUGAAAACGAGAUUUAGUUCGCGUCAAAAGACAAGGGGUGAUAAAGAUACAUACAAUGUAUGAUGAUAAGUUUCCAUCAUCAGUGACAUGCGCACACAUACAUAGAAUUAAACUGUUGGGAGUGGGAUACAUUGCUUUAAAACCAAAAGGUCUUUGGGAUUUUAACUUCGUAUUUUGUUCUUUGGAGAGGAAGCGAAUGGGAAAUGUCGUUUUCUUGGGGUCCAACGUUUUGCUAGAGUUAGUGCACGUGAAUGCACAGAUCAUUUUUUUCUCAAAUGAUACUAUAUACUUACCUAUAUAAAUUCUACAACAAUUUACAAAAAUACAUACGAAUAACUAAAUAUUAGCGAAAAAGAGGAGCACUUACAUAAAGGAGGAAAGAAUCUGUAUAAUUUACGAGAGCACAAUUUAAAAUCCAUCGAUUAAAUUAUGUGGCUAGUAAUUAAACUGUUAUACAAUUUAUUUACAAGUAUAAAAUCUGUGCAGUUUACUCUAUGCUUUCCCCUCUCUUUACUUUGAUAAAAUACUAACAAUUAUUUGUUGUAGCUUUCAUGUAGUUUACUAUAUAUUUUCUCAAGUUUGAAACUCGAAGUAACGUUUCUAGCACCAGAUCGAUGAGCUUCAACCUUGGAAAACAGCUUUCCAUAAAAAACAAAAGGUUAGACCUUCUAGAAAUCUUAGAAAUUAAUCUGCAUAGAUCCUAACCCUUCCAUACUUACCUAACUUUUUAUAGUAGAAAAUUAAUUACCCGAGUUUCUUUUAAUUGCCGUCCAAAAUCCAUAUAUAUAUAUAUAUAUAGAGAGAGAGAGAGAGAGAGAGAGAGAGAGAGAGAGAGUCUGGCUACUAUAUACUUUUAUGAUUAUGAUCGUCCUCGUAUUCAUAAGUCAUUUUCGAUGAUAAAACUUUCGAAUCGACGAUCCAUACCAUUAUACAUUAUUUAAAGCAUUUAAAAUUUUUAGAAAUCAAAUUUUAUAAUUUUUCGACAUCAUUUACCUAACGAUCAAAAUGUCAGAAAAUUGAUAAUUUUAACGGCCGGUAUGAAAUACUUGCUAGUUGAACGAUGUGAAAGAAUUGAAAUUUGUUGAAUUUUUUAUAGAAAAUUCUAUUCACUACCUAGAUAAAGUUAAAUAACUCCGAUUUUAAAUUGAAGGAUCCGAUCAUUUAUUUCUAGGACGUCGUUCGAUUUUGACUGUUCAUUUUAUACUCGCUUGAUGGGCUCUAUAAUAAUUUUGAAAAAUUACGAGAUUUAUUUUUUAGAAGUUUCAAAUACUCUAGAUUAUACUUAACGAAGUGGAUCGUCAAUUUGGAAGCUCCAUCAUCAAAAAUAAUUUAUGAGUACGAAAAGCUAGAUAAUCAUACGACUAUACGAGUAUAGUAACCCUACCGAUAGUAUUCUAACUCAACUCUAUAUAUAUAUAUAUAUAUAUAUAUUUGCUUCCACGAUCAAAUUUUUUUUAAAAAAAAUAGCUUAAGCCUUAGAAAGGUUAUUUCCAAUAGUACUAGAAUAUGGUUUUUUGAGUUUAAGAAUUUUCAGGCUUUUAAAUUAAUAUAAUUCUUCCUUAGAAAAGAGAGAAAAAAAAAAUAGAUUUCAAACUAAUUAAUUAAUGUAUUGGGCUUGAGGUGUUAACAAAGGGGUCGGCUCAAGACCUACCAUAUUUAUAGUUCAAGUUCUUGGACCUAGCUGCUAAUAAUUUUGGCAAAUUUUCCGCAAGUAGAACAAAGAAUAUAUAGCUUCAAAUAUUGCGAGAAUUAAUUGUUCGAGAACUAAUUGGAACUCCAUCAAGUAUGGAAGAAUAUUAAAGCGUCCUACUGUUUGAUAGAGUUUUAGUCGAAAAAUCUCCGAAGUAGAUAGAAGAAACUUAAACUACAUUAUUCUAUCAUGCAUCAAAGUAAUUUUCAGAAUAUUUUGGAAAAUGAAUACAUGAAGUUAAUAAUUAAAAGGGCCAAUUACUUAUGUACCUUUAAAAGUUUUUCGACUUUUUGAUUUACCUCUCUUGGAGUAUAUCUCUAUAGUUAAAUUUUGUGAACCGUUAGCUACAGCUAUUAUCUUUUGUAAAAUUAUUAUUUUAUUUUUUCAAAUAUACUAUCCUACCGUCACCAACUUUUUUUAUUUGCCUUUAAGUUAGGAACAAAAAAAAUAAUUUAAUUUUUUAAUAUUUUACAUAUACUCUUCUAUUAUCACCAACUUUUCUUAUUUGCUUUUAAAUUAAAGACCAAGAGAUAUUUUGAUUUUUUUUUAACUCUUGUAAAAAUUUAACCUGGGUUUAACCCCAGAUAACUUAACGGAUACUAAUAGCAGAAGUAUUUUUGAAUAACGAAGAAAUAUACAAGGAAUAUAUUUGAAACAAAAAAAAAUGAGUACAUUAGAUAUUUUAGAAAUUUCCAAGGGCAUAUUUGAUUUUUUUAUUUUUUUUUAAGGAAGGCAUUUUAGAUAUUAUCCCUAAUUAAAAUACCCAUCAACCAUUGCUAAGGCAAGUGAUAAGGGGUUUGAUGGUUGGUAUCUAAGGUCUGAUUGGUAUCCAGAGUCCCAAGUUCCAAACCUAGUUAAGUUCAUUUCUUAAAAAAAGAAAAAAAGAAAAAAUAAAGUGGAUAGCAUAUAUGCGAGUCCAAUCAUAAUUGUGAUUACUAUUAUUAAUAUACGUUUUACAGUUUUUCUCUAUAUACUAAAAUGAGAAGUACUAGAUUGAAUUUUUUGGGUACGCGGCUUAGAACCAUGCAUGUAUCUAUUUUUCGCUAUAACAAGGGAGUAUAAAACUUUUGUAUUCGCCUAAAUUGUAUGUUAAUAAGAGUGGUGGUACUUUAAGCAAAAACAUACACGGAACCAAACAUGCCCAGUGUAUGAGAAAAAACAACACUAGUGCCAAAUAAAACACGGAAAGAUAUAAACGAGGAUAAGUCCAACAGUGAUGGCAUCAAAGCUUUCUGUAAGUGUCAUGGGGCCUCUCAAAAAACAGAUACCCUGUCAAAUUUAACCCUUUAGUCGACCCACAUGAUACAACAUCAACAUGUCAAAUAAUUGGAACUAAAAUAUGAAACAAACCUCUCUUAAGCAUUGGAUAAUCCAAAAGCUCGUACUAAAGAAUGGGACUGGCCGUGUAGAAGAAAACUAAAAAAUAUUCUCUCACAGCACUUCAAGUACCAUCUACAUAUAUUACCACUUAUUAGCUAUUAUUUACCUAACAAAAGAUUGUUGAACUGUUCUCAGCUUCAGUCCAACUUACUCCUGAGUAAAGGUAGGAAAAAAAAAAAAAUUCAAAUGAUACCACUUAUGAAGCUAAAAUACUCUCUCUCUCUCUCUCUCUCUCUCUCUCUCUAAUAUGAAAUGAUACCACAACCAUUAUAUGCUUGAAUCAAUAAUAUGAAAUACCAAUCAGAUCGAAGUGUUGUGUUAAUGUUUGAACCAAGUUUUAAGAGGUAAAAGAAUUAAAAUAUACAUGUUUUUGAACCAAUUGAUGCACUUUAGAUAGCGAAAAGCAUUUGGACUUAAACUUAUUAGAUUAAACAAUUACUUAUGUUUUCCAGUGAUUGAGUGUCAUAUCAUAGCCACUCACCGGCUCGUAUCUCUCGUCGUUUCUAUUCUUAAUGUUUAUUGGAGACCCUAUUUCUUUGUUGUGUAGGGAAACCAGGAGGUUAAAGGACAUUCGCCUUAUCUUCAUUAAAAUUUUACGUAAAUAGAGAAUGGAGACAUUUGAAGUAAAACCUCUACAAAGGAGAAUUCGAGAAGUAUUUUGUUUCUCUUAGCAACACCAAGUCCUUAAUAUUGAGUACUAAUUAAAUUAAUUGUCAAUGGUAGUGUAUUUAGCCUUUCUCAGUUGUCUGAUACUCUGAAGCUAAUGGUGAGGUAUAUGCCAUGCCUUGUACUACUUGACAGUUAUAACUAAGCAAAUAUAUAUAGCCGAACUCGCCUUUUCUUGUGGAAGAUCCAAAGAAGAUAAUGAGCAUUAACUAUGAAUUUCUAAAGCUGUUCCACCACUAUUGCUUAGUCAUGACACUGCACAUGAUAACUCAACUUAAAAUAAAUAUCUCAUUAUCUUCGCCUAUAGAUUAUUGAUCAUUCGCAUGUAGUGCCAAAAUGUAUAAUUUCUUUCUUUUUUUUUUUUAAUCGAGGAUCAUUUAAUCGUAUCAUUCUGGGAAGUGGAAAUAUUUAAAUGCAUAGAAAAAGUAUGAUGGGAAAGGAAUUAGACAAAGGUCACAAGACAAGAGAGACUAGCAAGUAUAUAUACAUAUUUUUGUGAUUUAAUGACCCCUUUGCAUUGACUAAUCUUGAAUGAUGUGACAUAAGGAUUCUAAUCACAUUCACUUGGCAUACAAAACAAGUAAACUUAUUUCUUUAUUAAGCCUAUAUAUAUGCUGUUGGAAUGAUCAAGUUAACAAUGCUACGAAGCCAGUAAUUAAUGCUGUAAGUUAAAUUUAGCAUCGAGUCCUCAAGGCCACAUAGAUUAGAGUAUUCAGGCACAGUGAGUGUAUUUGUUUACUAUCAUGUGGCCGUGAUUAUAAGUUGUCAUCCAAGUUUUGAGUUGUUUGUUAAAUCCGUGUACAGUGAUUGUGCCAAACUUUCUCUUAACUGUAAUUAAUAUGAGAAUCAUGGCAGGUUAUACAUUAUUUAUCAACUGGGAGUAGUGUAAAAACUAGAAUGUGGUUGAACAAGUGGUGGUUAGGAGUAGGGCCUUUUGCAGCUGUCCUAACUUUGGUGAUAUAAUAACAAACUAAUUUUCAAUUUAUUGGUCUUGAUUUGGUCACUUAAUUGUAAUAUAAUUAAUUAAGUAUCUAGCGAAAACAUAAUUAAUUUUAAUUUUACACGGGAAUACAAGCUGCCUUCAUGGUGACAAAGAUAGCUAUAAUAGGCCACUAUAUAUGGCAGGUAAAAGUGGGGGCAAAAAAGAAAAACUAGUACACAGGUAAAAACUAAAAACUAGAAAAGCCUUCACUCAAACCAGGCGAGUAUACAAGCACCCACCACUACAACAACCUUGAGGAGACUUUUUAGCUAAGCUUCUUAUCCAUAGACCCUCAUUCAACAUUCUAUUUCUUCCCGGAUCUUGGGUAUAGAUGAUCACCUCCAUCUACAUCCAAUUUUCUAAGAGUUCGUUUCGUCACGAAACAAUCUAAGCGUCUCUGAAUCGUGAGUCUUCCUUAGAUCUUCUUAUCGACCUAUAUAUGCACAGCAUAAUAAUGGAGCAAACCAAGUACAAUUGGAUGUGGGCUAGAAGGCAAUUGAGUGAAGGGCCUCUCCUUGGCUCCUCAAUUCAAAGAAUCGCCACCCCUUCCUCCUAUCAUGAGUCAUGGGAAGAACAAGCAUUUGAGAAGGAUUCCAUAGGCCACCUGGGGGGAUACACAUGGCCUCCAAGAUCCUAUUCAUGCAGCUUUUGUCGGAGAGAAUUCCGAUCAGCUCAAGCUCUGGGCGGCCACAUGAACGUGCAUCGAAGGGACCGAGCAAGGCUUAAGCAAUUAUCUUCAAGCCCUAGUAGUAUCGAAGACCAAGAGAAUAAUCAACAAGACCGCCAAAAUACUUGUACUCCGUUAGGACACGCACAUCAGGUUAGUUCUCUACCAUACAGCACCCCCUCGAACCCUAAUUGUGGUGCUGUGGCAUCACUUAUCUCUUCAAGGGUUUCAGAAGAUAGUGAUCCCACCUUGGUUUCUCCUCCUUCCUAUUCUUCGUCUCUCAUCAAGGAGAACACAAAGGAACAGCUUCUUCCUGCCGAGCAAUCCCUCAGUGAUCCAGCUCAAGUUGUGAUGUUGGAGUUGAAUCUUGGGAGGGAGAAUUCAAAGCAAAGGGAAGCUAAUUUUUGCCGCAAAUUAAGAGAUAAAUCCAGAGAUGAGGAGGAGAUUAUAAGUAGCAAGAGACGCUGCAUAGAUGCAAUAUUUCCUUUAGUCAUGAAAUCAUCACCAGGUGAGCAGCAAAACAUACGAUCUCAGGUUCUGAAAAUAAGCCCCGGCCCAGUCGGUGAAUUAGAUCUCGAGCUUAGGUUGGGUAGUCAUCCAAAAGCGAAAUAGGUAGGAUUUGCAAAGUUAAUUUGAUGUGUUUGAACACAUAUUUCUUAUCUUAAUUUGCAUAGGAUUUAUUUCUUUCGUUAGUACUUCUUUUCUUCUACUUUCGGCCAAAGGCCUUCCCUGUAUCUCCCAGUUUAUUCCUCGCCUUUCAAAUAUUUAUGUUUUUCGAGUAUUUUGACAGCAAAUAUUCAAUGUAAAACAUCCACUUGCAAAGCUUAAUUCUUGUUGUUUUAUGUUGUAAUGAAGCUGUGAGUCAUGAACCAUGUUUCAGGUUGCUGUUAGAACUUUUAUUACUUCAAUAAAUUGCAAACUUCAAUGAGUUGCCUCUUAGGAAUGACAUGGUUCUGAAUUCGAUCACAACUUGUUCGUGGUUAAUGUUACUUCGGCAUAAACAGUUGCUUCCAUUAGUACAACUAACAAGAAUGUCAGAUGAAACAAAGUCAUGCGAGUAUAUAUGAUCCGAUUCUUUUGAUUCCAUAAGGGAGUCCUUAAACAGGAUUUUCCAAGGACUCAAGUACUUCAGCUGAAUUAUCAAUUCUCACGGCAAAGAGAUUAAAAUUUUGCAUAGCUUCAAUAAACAUCUCACAGAUCAUACAAUGAUACUUUGGUUUGGUCGCCAUAUUAUCUUCUUAAUUAUAUUCACUCUCCUCAUCAGGAAAUAAAUAACUGCUUUCUUUGCUGACUAGCUUAAUUAUACGAACAUUUUGUCAGUUAAAAAAGGAAUAAAUGCUUUUCUUUUUUUUCUGAAAAGAAAAGGAUGAAAUAUCAUAUCGCUGGAUAUCAUGCUCCUCUUGUUUGGAUUCCUAUGAAGGUACAAAUGACCUUUCAUAUUACACACAUGGUUCACUAAUGAUGAAAAUAUACCCACCGUCCUAGAGCAAGUGGCAAAAAACUUGAUGGUUGGUACUUGAGACCCAAGUUCGAAUCCUAGUUGAUUCACAUUUCCGGCUAAGUUUAUUUCUAAAUGAAAUAAAGGAACCGGAUAGCGUGCUACCUAUCUCUCAAAAAAAAAAAAAAAUGAAAAUAUGAACUUAGGUCAGCGAAUGUGUUGGAUUAGCAACAUGCAUGACAAGAAAAUUUAGAAAACUUUUUUUGCGCGUUCUUUUCCGAAACCUGCGACCACCUUUUCCGGGACUGUAUGUUGGUCAAAUACAUCCGUAUUUGUGCCGAAGGGUCAGAUGCAAGCGAAUCGGACUUCGGGGAUGUACGGAGGAUAUGGACAGAGACAGCUAAUAUACCUGAUGCCGCCACGAGAUCGAAAAACUUAACCCGUUUGGCGGCAAUCUGGUGGGUCGUCUGGACGGAGCGCAACAACACUAUCUUCGACGAGGUGCUACCCAAUGCUACUCGGGCUCUUGAACGUGUCGCUUCUUUGACCAAUGCCUGGAACGGUGUUCUUUGACCCUUGAAAGUUACUUCCUUCGUGCUCGUUCCCCACUUCAUCUUUUUCGUCAUACACCCCGCUUUUCUUUUUUACAUUGUCUAAAUGGUAGGUGUAGGGUAAGUUAUUUUCGGUUUUCUUUCUUUUUUCUUUCGGCUCUUUCAGGAGGCCUUAGUUGUCUCCAUCAUGUAUGCCUAGUUCAUUUCGCUUAACGAAUGAAGCAGGUAGCUUGCUACCUAUUUUUCGAAAAAAAAAGAAGAAAAUUUAGAAAACUACCACGAAUUCUUCUAGUUUUAGGGUGACUUAAUUUGUUCAAUCCUUUGUUCCAUCUACUUCGCCCGAACCAUUAGUUCUAACACACACCCACCAAUGCGCACACACAAACACACUUAAAACACAUACACAUACACACAUUUUAAACAUACACAUACACAUAGAGAACGUUAGUGGUGCAUAAGGAGAAAGCUAGAUAUAGUGACUUGAAUUGCAUGGGAAGUGGUGUGGUUGUCUUUGUUUUGCACUAGAGCUACCAUACUAAGUUCACUCUACUGACACAUUCCAGCAGCAGAACAAACAACACAUGCAUGUGAGACUGUUAUACAUAUGAUAUAUGCAGACACAUAAGAUCUGCUACAUUAAUAGUACUCGGAUUCCCUUUUCUCUGUUCCCAGCAUUUCUCUUAACAAUAACAUCCUUGCAUACUCACAUAAUUAAUUUCCUCUCUUAUAUUAUAAGGCUCUAAUUCCAAAAACAAAAAAUUUUAAAAAAAGAACCCAACCACCAAACGGAAUCAUCCCAUUAUAGUAUUCUAACACAUUAUAUAACUCAUUUAUUAUUCCUAAAGGAAUAAAAACCACCCGCUAUCUACGGCCCUUUUGUUUCUUCUACUGCAUUGCAUUUCAUGUAGUUAUUACCUCUUCCCCUCUUGCUUUUUAAGUAAGCCCAUAUAUAUAUAUAUAUAUAUAUAUAUAUAUAUAUAUGUACCCAUAUGCCCAUAAUGAACCCUAUAGCCUAUGAGCACGAAAUUUGUGUGUGGGUCAUUAAUGCCUUAGGGCAAUACAGCUAUGCAUGCAUGGCAUAUAUGCGAAACGAAAUGUCAACUUAGAAUUUAACUGGGUUUGCAGAAGAAUUUAAGAGAUGACCCAAGAAAGAAUAUAUAGGAGUUGCAGGAGAAUUUAAGAGCAACACUAAGAGUGAUAUACUUCCCAUUGAGGGGGAUGUGACUAGUGAAUGCUCCAUGGUGGAGUCAAUGGAUGUUGCUUUUUAUAGGUGCAUGAGGACACAAGUUAUAAAGAGUAGAAGAGUGAUGGGUUGGUUCGUUUCCUUCAAAAAAAUACUACUUCUGUGUAAAGGGGCUCAUUAAGAAGAGCGUGUCGGUUGUGUCUUUGUGUUGGUGUUUUUGGGAUGGUGACAGGGUAAAGGAGAGGGACGUGUCAUGUGUUUUUCUGAUAGAGGUGUUUGGUACUGAUUAAUUUUUUAUGGUGCCCCAAAAAGUUUGCAUGUUUAAGGAUUAUCAGCUUUCAUGUGCUUACAUCUGUCUCCGUUGGUAAUGCAAAAAGGUUGUGAGCAUGCACCAAUCCAACAUGUUGUACCCUGCAAAUAUCCAUCUGGGGAGAAACUCCACUGAGCCAUUUAAGACAAUAAAAAACUCAACUACAUCAAACUUAUAGCAAAAAGAAUAUUUGUGCAGUGUUGAAAGAUCUAAGUGAAUGCUAUUAUUUCUACACGAAAUAUUUGUACUAAAGAGAACUUCCGAGCCAUAUGUUCUUUCUCUUUUUGUUAAUCUAGUUUUCUUCUAUUAUUGACUUACUACAUCAUGAGGAUCUUUAGUUCGAGGGUCUCAAAAAAAUAAAAAAUUAAAAAAUCCAAUAUACUGGGCUUGGUUAUUAUCACCACUUAAUUGCUCCCCCAAAGCGGCUCAAAAGCCCAACCUAAAAUCUCGUGCACAUCAACCCAAUUAUAUUGGGUUUUCGGGCCACAACAAACUCCAUGAGCUAAUGGAUUACUACUGGACCUUUUCAAUACUAUCGGGUCCAUUACAACAAUUGGGCCGAAUUUUGCCUCAAAAGCCUAGCCCAAUUGGAGCUGAUGUUUUUUUUUUUUUUUUUUUUUUUCUUAUCUCAAUUUUUCAUUUGUUUCUUCGGAACUAAUAUUAAAUAGGAAAAACUUUAAACGCCACCCUGUAAUUUUGUACUUUCUCACUUUAGUGUUCUAUGGUUUAAAAUGUAUCGUUUUCGUACCCUAUGGUUUUAUUUUUCUAUUUCUGUUAUCUCCUCCAUUAAUUUUUUUCGUUAAAUCAGUAACAAAGUUAAAUCUAAAGGAUAUUAAAGUGAAUAUUCGAUAAACUAUAGGUAGAGUAUUUGAAAUUUUUUGUAUAUGACUUAAUGAAAAGUUAACAGAGGGGCUGACGAAAAAAAAAAAAAAAAAUCACAGGAUACAAAAUUGAUACACUUUAAACUAUAGGGUUCUAAAGUAUGAAAGUACGAAACCAUAUGGAUGGUAUUUGAAGUUUACCCUAUUAAAUAAUUGUUUGGUAGACCACAUUUUAACUACACAGUGCGGUUUCAUAAUAGUAUUUAGAAGCUGUAUCUACAAAUUAGAGCUAUACAAGAGUGAAGAUAUAGUUUUUAUAGAAAGUAAUUAAGUUUACAUAAGACUUAGUCUUAAUACUCUCACCUCAAAUAAAAAAGAGAGUUUCUUUGCACUGAAGGGUAAUUUUAUUUGAAACCGACCGACUACAUGAUAAACCCUAAUUAAGCCUCUUCCAACAGCAUAUAGUUAUAUCUAACCGCAUGUCUCUCUACUCUCUAAUUACACAAUAUUUAUAACUAUGAUGAAAUUAAAAAAAAUAAAAAAAGUCAAUUACCAUGUUACCAAUACUGUAAACACAGCAACUUCGAGUGUUUGCUUUCUUGUUCAAAGAUGUUGCCCUGACCAGUACGCAACAAACUUUGAUCCAACGGCCGGGAGUGAUUGCAGAAGAUGCUCUUAGGUAUCGUUUGGUUCAAGGAUAAGGAAAAAGUGGCUAUUUCAGGGAUAGAUAUAAAUUAAGGUAUAAGUGGAGAUUAGAUCAUUUUUGCGUUUGGAUGAAAAUUGAGUUAUUCCUGGGAAUAAAAAAAAUAGCGUUUGGUUAGGUAAGAUGGAAUAAGAAAAAUAGUGAGUUCUAUAAAUAAAAAUUAAUAAUAUUAUCCUCUUAUUAUAUUUGAAUUUAAAUUUUUAAAAUUUUAAAUAUAUAUUUUUAAAUUUUAAAUUUUAACUUUGAAAUUUCAAAUUUUAAAAUUUAAAAUCUCAAAUUUUAAAUUCAAAAUUUUAAAUUUUAAAUUUCAAACUUCAAAUUUAAGAUCAAAUUUAAAUUUGAAAAAUAUAAAAUAUAAAAUUUUAAAUUUCAAAAUUAAAAUAUCAAAAUUUAAUUUUAAAAUUUAAAAUUUAAAAUUAUAAACUUUAAUUUUGAGAUUAUAAAUUAUAAAUUUUAACAAUUUAAAUUUUUAAUUUUUAAAAUUUUAAAAUAAGAAUAGGGAUGGGAACAAUUAAUAAAAAUAAUUUAUUAUAAUAAAUUUAUAAAUUUUUUUAAAAUUCUACUUAAAUUUAAAUUUAAUAAAAAAAAUUUAUUAUAAUAUUUAAAUAUAAUUUAUUAUAAAUUUUAUUAUAAUAUUUAAAUAUAAAUAAUAUGUAUUAAUAUAGUACAAUUAAUAAUUUUAUAAUAAAAAUAUUGUAUUAUAAUAUAUAACAUAUUAUAUUUAUAUAAUUUAGUUUUAAUUCAAUUUAUAAUUUUAAUUAAGUUUGAAAUUAAGCAUUGGAAUAGUGCUAAUCCACCAAAAUGAUGGAAUAGCAAAUCCCUUGCUAUUCCGGGAUAACCGGGAAGAGCAAGGUUUGACCGGGAUAAAAUAUCCCAGCCAAAUUUCACCCCGUUUGGUGGAAUAGCGGGGAUAACUUUCGUUAUCCCCGCUUAUCCACCCAACCAAAUGGGGCCUUAAGAAUUUCUCCGCAUUAUAUGAAUGAUUGAAACUUUAGCAUUCAAAGAAUAAUGCGUAUGAUUAAAGCUACAAGGCGCUUCGAAAAAGUUAGCACUAUUAGCACUAACUUGAAUUAUAAUACUACAAGGGCGCCUCUCUAUUCUAUGACUAUGUGUACCAAUUAUAGUACUACAUGGCCGGGGCUUCUUUGUUCUAUUAAUUACACGGUGUUGCAGAUUGACUUAGCUAGAUUCCAAUUACAGAGGUAGUGAUACUUCACUUUCAAAAUGACGACUUUUAUCGAAACAAACAAUAUUGAAGCAAAAUUGACCUUACAAUAAUUUUAAGCUUCAUUGCACUCGAGUUUCACCCUCAUUUAAGUUUUCGUCGAUCCAAACGAUCGAUCCAAACCAUGAAAAGAUAGGAGCGAAUAAACCAAAAAAAGAAAAUAGCUCUAGUUCUCAUGAUCUUGAGGAUCUGGUCAUAAGUCAAAAGAUGCAUUGAUCUAGUCAACUUAUUAUUCCAUUUACAAGUAGUGAAAUGGAGUUGGUACAGGAUAUGUGCCACCAAGUCACUGAAGCCAACGCCAAGCACUUGCGACUUCCAUUGUGCAAGUCAACUUCCUUUGGAAGUCACCGAUUAAUUUCGCCAAAACUCACAUUGCAAUCACACAGAAUUUCGCACGAAAAUGAUGUUACAGGAUUUACAAGUCUUGAUGAUCCACUAUCCCAUUAGUAAAAUCAGUACCCACUUGUUGCAUAACGUAGUAAUAAAUUCAAACUUCGUCGAAAACUAAACGCAUAUGUACGAGGCACGAACUGCUGCUGCUACUUUCAUUAUAUUAUGGCUGUCGAACACUUUACGCUGUUGCUUAUUGACCUAAUGUUUGCAGGUUCCCUAAACUGUAAGCAUAUAUGUGAAAUUUAGAAUGUCGCCAGUAGGCUUCUCCCUGAAAUUACUGAUGAAUUUUCCUGUGAAGAUCAGUUCAAAAAUAAAUUUUGAAAAAAAAAAUAGAAGAACCUGUGAAGGGAAAGGAGGAUACUUAUAUAUCUUUAAAGUAGGGGAUUUUAAUGGGGAUAAAUAUCAUUUUUGAUCGAGUUAUAUUCAAGUAUCGAAGUUUCUGCUGCUUUUUGAGAAACUUGCAUAGAGUUUUCCAAAAUUGCAAGCAGUGAACGUAGAAAACUGCAAUGUCAUGGGUUGAAGUAAAAAAGAUACAAGGUCUAAUUGCUAUUUUUUAUUUGUUCUCUUUUCCUAUAUAAAUUUUCCCUUCUUUUGAAGCAUAAAGUUUGACUUAGCCAUUAGGGGAGCUUAGUUUGAUCCGACUUUCUUCGUCUCCACGUAAUACAACUUCAAGAUAUCAAAUUUGAUAAAAGAAGUGUCCAAUAUGAAAGGAUUUUUCUUUUUCUUUUUCUUUUUUGCUAUAUCAGCUUUUUAUAAGCUGGUCAAUUAGGACUGGUGUUUAGUCCUCCAAUUCUUGAGGUAAUUUGUACCAAUAGAUUUCAGACUAGGAAUCAAAUACUAAUAUUUAAUAGCAUAACCUCAAAUUAUGUUUUCAAUGCUGUGAGAAAAAUGUGUCUAAACUCUAAUAUAUCCAUAAGAUUGAGCUUGUUAGGUAUUGUAUUUCAUUCAAAAUAGAAUUGGAUAAAAUAAAAUGAAAAAAACGUUUUUAACAAGUAAAAGGUGAGCCUGAGAUACGUUAUAGUAAAUUUCACAUCUAAAUCACAUUCAAAUCCAAUCUUUCACAUACGAUUCCAUAAUUCUAUCCUGAUAGAAAUUAUUUGAUCUAGAUGCGUGUAAUAAAUCCCCAACCACUUACAACUUGUGAUGCAUCUUUCUCUGGCCGUCUCUCGACAACAAUACUCUCUCAUUUUAUUAAAUCUAAUCAAUGAUUUAAUUCCUUCCUUUGUCAUUACUAAAACAGAUACCAAAUAUGUCAAUCAUGUAAUGUAGACACAAUGUAGUAAUUAGUUUCAGGUCCAAUCACCAGCACCAAAGUCUUAAAUUAGAGAUCCAUGCCCUGCCACGGACCAACUUCGGUGCCAUGCCACGGACGCCAUUGUUGACCAGCGACGCUUCCUGUGGGCCCUCACUUUGACCAACGCAACAUCCACUGUGCACGUAAAGCCGCGACACAGGGAGUGACAAGUGUGGCGUCAUCCUCCACUUAGCGUUGUCCCCUUCAAGAGGGGCCCACUAAAUGGGCCCCACUCUAUCUCUAGAUUGGCUUAAAGGACCAUUUUUGGCCCGAGAAUGGACAAGUCAAUAUGGGCUAAAAGAGGGGGUGGGGCGUUUUCUUUACCUUUCAACAUACCCUCAACGACUCUCUCCCAUUAAACCCGUACAAAUUACACCUCAUCGCUCUCAAGGUAUAGCUACAUACCGUAAAUAUUUCGACACAAACAAAUAGGAAAUUAUUACCGACUGUCACUAGAGCAAAUGAUAAAGAGCUUGAUAAUUGGUACCCGAGACCUAAGUUCGAAUCUUACUUGAGUCACAUUUCCAGCUAAGUUUAUUUCUAAAUGAAAUAAACGAAGCGGAUAACGUGCUAUCUAUCUCUCAAAUAAAAAAAAUAAAUAGAAAAUUAUUGUAUGAAAUUACAUAUUGUUAACUUUCAUAGUUCAUUUAGAAAAAAUACCAAACGAACGGUAAAAGAAAUAAAUGCAGAAAGAAGAAAUCAAGAUUUACGCGGUUCGGCAAUCCCCUACGUCCACGGGAAGAGCGAGAGAGAUGUAUUCCAGUAUAUGAAGAAAUAGAAGUACAAGCUUACACCUUAUAUCUUCUCCGGAUAAAAAACCAAGAACCUUAUGGUGAAUCCCACCUUUCUUGUUCCAACGAAAACUCCAAGAAAAUACCGAAAAAGCUUUUCGUAAAACCGAGAAGACCAAAUUAGAGAAGUAUAGAAACUCUAACCAAAUUCCUUUAUGCCGUUGCUUCGAAGAAUCCGAACCGCUCAGGCAAUUGGUCAAGAACCGCUGCUCCGCCGCCAACGUCAAUCCGUCGUUGCAUGCGAGCAACCUUCCUUCUCUUUUUCUUGCUACCGUACGGCUAUAGGAAGUUGUGAAUUAAUUAGCCCGAUGCUAAUUAAUUCUCUACCACAUGACACAUUGUACGGUUCACCCCAGCAUGAAUAUAUAGUGCUAAUUAACCCGGUCAAAAGUCAACCAAUGUUAAUUGGAGUCGGUUUGAGAAGUAUAAACCGAAUAUGGUUUUGAUGCAUGCAAUCCCAAUAUUAAUUAGAUUCAGCCUCAUCUCUUACACCAACGUGAAUCAACUUUAAGAAUUAAUAUAUUCCGUAGACCCGGUGCAUUGACCAAACCAAUAAAAAAAGAAGGCAUAUCUUUAACAAAUCCAUCUCAAAUGGCAUAUGAUAUUUGAAACAUUAUGUAAUUAUAGUUUUGAGCAUUGUUCUGCUAAUUCUUUGGGCCUUCUAUUUUUUCUUUUUUACCUUUUCUGUCUUUAAUUCUUUUUUUUUUAUUUAUAACCUCUUCCAUUAAUCUACACCUCUCUGUUUUUAUUUUGUUUUCCUUCUGUAGGCCCAAACUAUCUUCACUAUGUAGGUUUAUUUAUUUUUUCUCUAAAUAAAGAAAACGAGCAAGAUACUACUCUUCUUUUUCAAGAAAAAAAACUAUCUAUUUCCGAAAUCACAGUAGAGUCCACUUUUACUGUGCGAGUUAGUUUAACUAACAGUUUUAAUCUACGUUUCAUAGAUUAACACCAACAAAAUAUCUCGUAAACCACCAAAUUUAUCAUAAUAAAUAGAUCUUAUGAUAAAUGUAAAAAUCCAACUCGGACAAAAACUUGGCUUUCGCAUAAUUUGGUCAUGCCUGAGGAGUAUGAUCGUUAUCAUAAGUUUACGGACGUGAUUGAUGGAUCAACCACUUCUGGUGGGGUGGCCUAUUCCGCAUCAUUUCUUUGAACCUGGGGAGCCAAAAACAAGUUGUGCACAAACUUCCUCACAAAGUUUUGAAGCAAUUCGAAUCCAUAUCCUCCCGUUGUGGGACCCACAGCACGUGAUCACCGCACACCGUUCAUCGGAGGGAAAAUGUAUAGUGAUAACGUGGCGUAACGGAUCAAUCAAAAUUUUUUAAAAAAAAUUAUAUGUCACAUCAUAAUUAUAAAAAAUAUUUUUAUUAUACUUUUAUUUAAAAAGAAGAAAGAUGAUUGAUUUGUUAUUGAUAACGUGGUGCAAAUAUGAUAGUGUAGAAUUUCUCCUAGCUUGGUUAGGUAGGUUCUCUUUUGUUUUUUUGGCUUUCGUUUUGUUUUUUUUUUUAUUAGUUUCACCCUCUAUUCCAAAGUUGCUUAUAGCCACUUCCUAAUUCUGAUAGUACAUGAAAUCCGAAAAAUCCAAGACUCAAAUGCUUUUCUUUUUUUUUUUUCUUUUUUUUUGGGGGGGACUAUACCUGCAGGGAUCUUAAACUGAUAGUACAUGUAAUCCGAAAAAUUCAGGACUCAAAUACUAAUUUUUUCCUAUUGGAAUAUACUUGCUGGAAUUUAAACUGAAAGUACCUGUUAUCUGAAAAGGUUAAAUUUUAUAGUGGUAUAUUCAGGAGAUAACGAGAUCCACUUACGAGAUCCACUUACUUACAUUAAAAUAAAUAAUGAAACUUAAAAAAUUAAUUUCAUAAGCACCAAAUUACAUCAAAACAAAUAAAAAAAAUAACUGAAUUUAACUGUAAGAGUUAUAUAAAAAAUAAAUAAUAAAAAAUAAUCACAUUUUAAAAAAACUCAAACACCACUGUAUUUGAGUUACUUUGGAUUUAUAGAUUCGACAAUUCAAACGCUCCCUUAAAGUAAGUUUCUGUAAAUAACAACCUCAACUACUAUUGAUCGUAACUAAGGUAAUCAGCUAAAAAUUUGAUGAGUAGUAUCUAGAAUUAUAAAUUAAAAGUUUUGUUAUUUUAUAUUUUUAGUUAAAUUUAUCUCACAAAAUGUAUGGUGCGAAUAGUUUAUCAUCUUUUUCUCUCUCAAAAAGACCAAAAAAAAAUCUCAACCAUCUUUUUCUCUCUCAAAAAGACAAAAAAAAAUCUCAACUACUCGUAAGUCAUUGUUAAUUAGGCGAUUAUACUUUCAUCCAAAUAAUGUAACCUAAUUUAAAUCCACCAUUUUGUUCAUAACUUAGAGCCUAUUUAAUUCUGCUAUAAAUUUAAUAUUAUUUAGAAAAAAUACUAUUAGUACAUCUCAUAUAGAGAUGUACAUCUUACAUCUUUAUGAUUCAAAAAUUAACAAAAAGAUAAAUAAUUCUAAAUAAAAUAAACAAAACAUGUAACAUGUUAUCUAUCUCUCUCAAACAAAACAAAACAAAAAAAAAAAAAAACAAAUGAAACAACAUACACCGACAAGUGAUACUACUGGACACUCUAAUGUAACACUAGUUAAGUACCCGCGCUUCGCGGCGGGCAGAAAAAUUUACAAUAAACACACAAUAAAAAAUAUUAAACAAAUAGCACAAAUAUUUGUGCUACUAAAGAUUAUAUCUGUGCUACUAAAGAUUAUAUCUGUGCUACUAAAGAUUAGUUCAGAUCCAAAAACAAAACAAAACCAUCAAUACAUAGAGUCUAAUUGGAUAGUGAAGCGAAUAGUAGAGAAAAUCCAGCGAAAGCAACAGCAAAGAAGCGGAGAUCUCGAAGAACUUCCCGGCCUCACAAAUAACAGCGAAGAAAGUAAAAACAUGAUAAAAGAAACACCACGGCAAUUCUACAACAAUGCAACAACAAAGAAGAAUGUGUAGAUCCAAUAAAGAUAUGUAUCCAACCCAAAGAAGAGUGUGCAGAUCUAACAAAGCAAUGUAUCCAACCGGAAUAUUUCUUUCUUUUCAUCCCCAAAAUGCAACAACCGCAGUUCAAAAGAAAAGUAAUACAACUGUUUGUAAGGUUACUGGCAGGUAAUGAAAGCCCCAAAGUUUCAACAAAAAAUAGAGUACUUCCUCAGUUAAGUAGGGAUUCAAAUCUUCAAUAUGCAGUUGCUAAACAUAGACAUACAUGUUCUGUAAAGAUUAAUGGAUAAAUAAACAUUUGUUCUAAUUAUUCCCAAAUGAGCUUAAGCAACACCAUAACCAUUUGCCUUCUUCUUCUUCAGAGAAGCAUAAUCAAAAUUUUCUUUUGAUUAAGCCAAAACGAAAAUACGGAACAUCCAUUCUGAGCAUACCACAAACUGAAAUGCCUUGAAAUGAUGAUCAGUCUAUGGCUUGAUCAGUUCAGCAACAAAAGUGCCUCAGAAAUACCUAAGGCUAAGUUAUUUCAGCUAAUCCAAAAUUUAUUUCUAGUGAAAAGCAUCCAUUCCUGGUCUUAUGUGAGGUACAUUAAGAAAUAUGAGUGAAGCUAGGAUUCAAAAUCAAUGGGGCCCAAGUUUACUGUAAACAGUGAACAAUUUAAUCAUAAAAAAUACAACAAAGAAGACAAACAAAAAACAGUAGGCCUAUUUCAACAUCUCCUAGCUCUGGACUUAGUCAAGAAUGUGUGAGUCAAUUGCAAGGUAGAUAGCUCCAAAGACUUGAAGUGUAUUGCUAAAUUCUAGAGCCAAUUGCAAGGUAGAUAUUUCUUAGAGCUUGUUUAUAGAUUCUCAGUCCCUUUGUAAGAAAAAAAAAACAGCUAUAUAGAUACCCAAGCAAUUAGUGCAGAAAGUAAGGAAGCACAUCGAGAGGGCCUUUUUUUUUUUUGGAACAUAAUCAAGAUACACUGAAAAUACUUGUAAGCUUACCGGCAACCAUUUUUUGGGACAUAUUCAAAGUAUAAAGCAAAUACUUGUAAGCUUAUUGGCAACCCAAGUUACAAUGGAACUAUAUACAAUGUAAACACUUGUAAGACUACUUGCAACUAAUGUGUAAGUAAUGUACAAAGCAAGAAAUAAUGGAAGGAGUUCUGUCUAUAUGGGCACAUUCAAGUUACAAUGUAAACACUUGUAAGGCAACUUCCAACCAAUUUGUAAGUAAUUAAACACAUGCAAUCCUACAACUCCUACUAUAUUGCAUGCCAAGAUAUAAAGCUUAUUAGGCAUCAAAGACCAAGUGCUAUCCAAAGUAAACAUAUAUAACAGUGGAACAAUAGUAAACAUGGGAAAUCACAUAAAAAAUGUAGGGAAAACAAAACCAAGGGAAGAGUAGUCAUGAAGAACAGUAGACCUGAUAUCACUGAACCGAAGAGAGGGGAACACCAUGACAACCAAAUUAAAAACAGAACGAAGUAAAAACUACUACAUAUUCUAGGCCAAAAGAGGUAGAAAGCACAAAAAGCAUGAGAUCUGAUGACCAAGCAAAAGAAAAGAGAACAAAUGGAAGCCCGAUCCCGACAAAAGCAAAAAGGAUUAGGCUAGACAGUCGCAAACAUCGACGUAAGCAGUAAGCUGCCCCGAUGAAUCCACAGUAAGGCCAUACUUCGGCACAGGUAUGGACAGCCUCUGCGUAAUUUCGAGCAGCACAUUCUUAAAUGAUACGUCGAUCACGCCCAUGCCUGCACUAACAAUAUGAAAACCCAGAAGGCAAUUGUAAAGAGUAAGGAAAGCUAGUAAAAAUGACUUGCGGAGCUACGCAGAUUAUUAAUGGCCAGCAAAAACUUUGGAUUGUUAAAUUUAGGGAAAAACAAAUUGAGACAAAAGCCAGAAAGGGGAAACAAAAAAUAUGAGAAAACAUAAUGCAAGGCUCAGAUUCACAGCUCCCCCCACAAAGCGAAGGGGUACGGCGAACAUUAUAUGGACCGGAUUUCUGCACUAAUAGCCGCAGGUUGCAGCGAUCACCCUGAGGCUAUUCGACUGCCAUGCCAUUGCGGAUAAAGGUAAGAUAGAUUUCGAGUAUUGCCGAUAUCAUCAUUGCCUUGCUCGCAGGCUGCAACGAUUGCUCCGAAGCCAUUCGACUGCCGUGCCAUUGCAGAUGGACAGAAGAAAAGCGAGAAGGAGGCGAAGCAGGAACCGCGUGCAAAACUGCGACCAAACAUCGAAGCACCCAAGCAUCAGCAAAUCCAGGCAUGCACAUAGACAGAGAACAUCAAAAUGGGAAGCAAGCAAGGAAACUUCCAGAGAACUCGACCUCCUUUCUUGCGGCAGCACCACUCUCAAGAAAAGAUUGCAAGGUAGGAAACCAAAUUUUGUUGAGCAUCAAAACGUAUCGGCCAACAGUCUAUAUAUAUACAUACCAGCAUUGGAACAAACCAAAAGAGAAGCGAAGAGAGCAAGGGGAGGGCGCCGGCUCACAGCGGCGCACCAUCCUGAGAUGACAGCAGGACGACGCGACAGUGAAGGUACAGUGGAGAUCAGGAUGAUCCCCAGCCCGGAGAGAGCGAGCGAUCUCCGAAGAAGGGACGGAUCAGGCGGGGCAUUUAAUGCCCAGAUCUAUAAUAUAGACACAUGUACGGCGAAGGAAGGAAACCAUCUCCGGUGGAGCGACGGGUUGAUAGGGGGCAUUUAAUGCACCGACGGCAGUUGCGCGGCGCCAUUAAAUGCCCCGAUUUGGGUAGAUACAGGCGUACGGUCGAGGGAGAGAGGGAUUUCCGGAGAAGCAGUGAAUCUGCGGAGAGGUGCCGAAAACACAGAGAGGAGAGGUAAGGAAGAAGUACAGUGCCGGCGGAGUUGCGCGGCGCCAUUAAAUGCGCCGUUUUGGGUAGAUACAGGCGUACGAUCUAGGGAGAGAGGGAUUUCCGGGGAAGCGGCGGAUCCACGGAGAGGGUAACGCUAGGCGAACAUAGGGUUCGCGAGAAAGGGAAAGGGAGAAGUUGCUGCGCAAGGGACCUACAUGCCGAAAACGCGGAGGAGAGGUAAGGAAGAAGUACAGUGCCAGCGGAAAGACGCGGAGAGGAGAGGUAAGGAAGAAGUACAGUGCCAGCGAAGAUGUACGAAGCCACACAGAGGGCGAGAGGGAGAACCGAAAAGGCGGACAGAAAGGACCGAAAGCAGGGAGAGGAAAAGGCGGAGAGAGUGGAACCUAAAAGGCAAACAUGAGGGACCCACCCAAACCGAAAACGCGGAUGCACUGUGGAGCAAGUUUUCGGUUCACCCUUUAAUGUAUUGGUAUUGAUGUAUGGAUAAUAUUUUAUAAUUAUUUGUAAAAUUAAUACAUGUCCUUGCGAGUGAAAUCAUACAUUAUAACUUCUUUCAAAACUACUGACCGUCCCUAAAAUAAGUGGCAAAGAGCUUGGUGGUUAAUAUUCGAAAUCUAAGUUCGAAUCCUAAUUGAUUCACAUUUCCAGCUAAGUUUAUUUCUAAAUGAAAUAAACGAAGCCGGUUGCUACCUAUCUCUCUCUCUCAAAAAAAAAAAAAAAAAAAUCUUUCAAAACUCGCCAAGUGCAACGCAACAUAAGUUAAAAAAAAAAUAAAAAUCAAAACCGACCGUCCCUAGCGCAAGUGGCAAAAGGGCUUGAUGGUUGGUAUCCGAAACCCAAGUUCGAAUCCUAGUUGAUUCACAUUUUCAGCUAAGUUUAUUUCUAAAUGGAAUAACGAAGCAGGUAGCAUGCUAUCUUUCUCUCAAAAAAAAAAAAAAAUCAAAUCAAAACUUUUGCUUCUAGAACUCAAAAUUGAGUUUCAACCUUCCAUAAAUGGAAAAGGUCUAGCAUUUAUGGAAAAGCCUAGCAUUUUUAACUGUCAGUCUAUCCAUUGUAAAUAACUAUAGCUAAAAAUAAAAAAUAAAAUAGAAGUCACCGUGGCUAGACUAUUAUCCUAACUACUUUUUACUAAUUUCUCAAGUAAUUUAUCUCAACUAAAUCCCCCCUUACCAUCUGUACCCUAUGAUCUAGCUCACACACAACUAAAAUAACAUCAAAAAAAAAUAAAAAUCUGAUUCAGCAUUUUUUUUUAAAAAAAAAAUUAUUCAAUAAAUAAGUAGUAUUUAAUAAAUUAAAAAUAUAAUUAAAUAUUUAAAAAAGUAUAUAUAUCAUAUUUAAUCUUCAGUUAUAUAUAUUCUAAAAUAUACAAUUUUGUAAAAUUGUGAAUGGUAAAAUUUUUUAACAAGUUAAAAUAAAACUCACAUAAGUUAUAUAAUUAAAAAAUUUUAUAAUAUAACUAAAUAAUUAGAGAUCUAGUCCUAAAUAAGAGUCCGGUUACCAAAUUCCAACACAGCAUUCCGUCCAUUGACCGGUACCCACGAGUAGCAGCUCCUUUCUUCGCCUCAAAGUCUCACUCUGGCCCAUCCUCUCUCCCAUCCCUAUUCCCUCCUCCUACAAAAGCCCACACCAGAUCACCCGAAACCUCCGAGAAAUUAAGCACUUAUCUCACCUACAACUAUUUUCUCAUCCACCGGAUGACCUAACCCAUCUCUCUCUCUCUCUCUCUCUCUCUCUCUCUCUAUUCUCCCCUUUUCAAACAAACAAACAAACAAACUCCGACGACGAUACCACCACCCCUCCCCUCUCUACCUCGCAACAUGUCUAAAAAUCCCACCUUUAUUAGUGGUUUAUCCUCCCUCGGAUAACCCGACCCCCACCUCUUCUCCCUCUCUCCGAUACGUGUCUACCUCCCAAUGCCUAAGAAUCUCGUCGUCUUCUUCUUCUCGCUGCUCCUCUCCGUCGCCGCCCAGCGAGAUGAGUUCGUGUACACCGGCUUCGGCAGCGGCAGCGGCGGCGCCAAUGGCGGCGGAGCGAACAUGAGCUUGAACGGCAUAGCGGAGAUCGAGGAUAGCGGGAUCCUGAGGCUAACCAAUGAGACGACCCGCCUCAUCGGCCACGCCUUCUAUCCGACGUCCCUCCGCUUCAAGAACGGCACGGACGGCGCCGUGUUCUCCUUCUCCACGGCGUUCGCCUUCGCCAUCGUGCCCGAGUACCCGAAGCUCGGGGGCCACGGCCUCGCCUUCACCAUAGCGACCUCCAAGGAGCUCGCGGGGGCGCUUCCGAGCCAGUACCUGGGGCUCCUCAACGCGAGCGACGUGGGCAACGCCACCAACCACGUCUUCGCCGUCGAGUUCGACACCGUCCAGGACUUCGAGUUCGGGGACAUCAACGACAACCACGUCGGCAUCGACCUCAACAACCUCGCCUCCAACGCCUCCGCCGCCGCCGCCUACUACGACGGCGACGGCGGGACGAAGAGCGACCUCAACCUCAAGAGCGGCGACACGAUCCAGGGAUGGGUCGACUACGACGGCGCCCGCAAGAUGCUGUACGUGGCCAUCUCCCCGUCCUCGACCAAGCCCAGCAAGCCCCUCCUCGCAUUCCCCGUGGACCUCGCCCCCAUACUGGAGGAGCGCAUGUACGCGGGCUUCUCCGCCUCCACGGGGUUGCUCGCGAGCUCCCAUUACCUGAUGGGGUGGAGCUUCAAGAUGAACGGCGCCGCCCAGUCGCUGGACCUGUCCUCGCUCCCCUCGCUCCCCCGCAGCAAGAAGAAGAACACCACCUUCAUCCUCGCCACCUCCUUCUCCGCCUUCGUCCUCCUCGUGGGCGCGGCCGCCGCGGGGGCCUACCUCUUCUACAAGGUGAAGAACGCGGACGUCGUCGAGCCGUGGGAGCUCUGCUACGGGCCCCACAGGUACUCCUACAAGGAGCUCAAGCGCGCCACGAGGGGGUUCAGGGACAAGCAGCUCCUGGGGUUCGGCGGGUUCGGGAAGGUGUACAAGGGGACGCUCCCCGGGUCGGGCGCGGGCGCGGGCGCGGAGGUGGCGGUGAAGCGGGUGUCGCACGAGUCGCGGCAGGGGAUCCGCGAGUUCGUGGCGGAGAUCGCGACCAUCGGGCGCCUCCGCCACCGCAACCUCGUCCAGCUCCAGGGCUGGUGCCGGCGCCGCGGCGACCUCCUCCUCGUCUACGACUACAUGCCCAACGGGAGCCUCGACAAGUACCUCUUCUGCGACGGCACGGAGGAGGACGAGGAGACCCAGAAGCGCGGCGGCGUGGGGGGGCGGCGGCGGCGCCUGCUGACGUGGGCGGAGCGGUUCCGGAUCCUGCGCGGGGUGGCGUCGGCGCUGCUCUACCUCCACGAGGAGUGGGAGCACGUGGUGGUCCACCGCGACGUGAAGGCGAGCAACGUGCUCCUCGACGCGGACCUCAACGGGCGCCUCGGCGACUUCGGCCUCGCCAAGCUCUACGAGCACGGGGCCAACCCGAGCACGACGCGCGUCGUGGGCACGCUCGGGUACCUGGCGCCCGAGAUGACCCGCACGGGGCGCGCCACCACCGCGUCCGACGUGUUCGCCUUCGGGGCGCUGGCGCUCGAGGCCGCGUGCGGGCGCCGCCCCAUCGACCCCAAGGCGGCGCCCGAGGAGCUCAUCCUCGUGGAGUGGGUCUGGGAGCGCUGGGCCGCGGGGAGGUGGGCGGAGACGGUGGACGCGCGGCUGGGCGGGGACUACGACCGGGACGAGGCCAUGGUCGCGAUCAAGGUGGGGCUCAUGUGCUCCCACCCCGCCGCGGCGGCGCGCCCCACCAUGAGGGAGGUGGUGCGCUACCUCGACGGCGGCGACGCGGCCGAGAUGCCGGAGAUUCGGAGCCCGCCGCCGCCGGGGUACGAGGGGGCCGGGAAGGGCCACGAGGGAUUCGACGACUUCGUCCACUCCUACCCCUCCUCCUCCUUCGAGAAGCUCUCCGCGUCCGCGAGCCCCGUCGCCGUGGGCGUGGGCGUGGGCGUGGGCGAGAGGGCCGCGGUGGGCCCCAUGGGGUACUCGCCCCUGGCCCAGUCGCAGCCGCACUCGGACGUGACUGCGUGAGGCACGUGUCUGAGGAGGUGCCCACCUGUCGACCCUGCCAGCUGGGGCCCAUCCAUCGCCCGCCCACAGGAAUACAGGAUCAUUCGUUCGUUUCCCACUCCCCAGAAUACAGAUGGGCAGUUUUUUAUUAAAAGAUUAUAUAUCGGCCCAAUGGGCCUAAUCAUUGUUCGGCGGGACCUACAGCUUAUGCUGAGCAUCAAGUAUAAAUCGAUGACAAUUGCUGCUGUAAUUACCGUAUCAUCACUUCCUUUUUAACUUUAUUUUGCGAGUGACGAAGCUAUUGUAAGUGUGAAUAAGCUUGUGCAUGUGCCUAAAGAUUCCGUGUCUUUUUAUUUUAAGUUUUCUUCUUCUUCUUCUUUUUUUAAUAUGUUCGGUUGAGUGGUCACGCUAGUUUGGAACAUGUCACAAACGCCGUCCUUUAAUAACGUACACUAGUCACUCAAGUCAACAUUCUUUACAAGCUAAAAAUAUCCGCAACUGAUCAAAUAUUAGUCGAUGCAACAGUCCACACCCUACAACAACUAAGAAAUAGUAUUAAAUAUGGAGAAAAAGCUAUCAUGUUGAUAAUCUAGUGUAACCAGUCUCCAUUAACUGGUAUAAUAGGUAUAAUUAACAACUCAGUGUAUAUGUUUUUUUUUGUUUUUUUUAUAUACGAGAGGUAUAAGCCAUUUUCUUAAUUUAUGUAAGGACCUAUGGGUGUUGGAAAAACCAAUUGUUCAACAGUCACCUUGCUGACUUUGAAGUUUGAACAACUAACUAAGCCCCGUUGUUAAGCCCAAAUCUUACACAGCGUGUGAUUUUCUGCUUGCUCUUUAAGGCUAUAGAUUGUGUUCUUAAGAUAAUACAUAAAAUCUUCUCCUUUCUUUUUCCUCGAUGAAAAAGACGCCAAGAUAUCAAUUUCCCUGCUGCACAGACUUCGCGUGUUAUCAAUAUCGGAUGCCCUGGCAAACCAGCUCAAACCGGAGUCCAUAGAAUUGUUGAAAGUCGAAACCUAAUCUAUAGUGAUUAUAAUUUAUCCUGGGCUAAUAGCCUAAGACUAGGUUGUCCCAACUAUCUCCCUAGCCUAGUCUUAGCUUUUUAUGAGGUUACUGUGAAAAUUGUCAUGACCUGAACAAUUUUGAUGUUACAAGCUGCUAAAAAUUUUACAAUAGCAUAAAUAAUGUUAUCUUAGAAUCUUCGUUGAUCUUCUAUAUUUUUAUUUGGAGUUAAACUAACCUUGAACAAUGAGUAACAAUCUCUUAAAAGAGUUCUUGUACCUGAAAUUCCUGCAUGAUGAUGCGGAAUAUCAGAUUCUUCUCUGGAUCAGUAGACAAUUUACACUCCGAUUUGCCGUAGACUCUAUCAAAACAACAAAAAAGCCCUUAGAUUUUUAAGUGUGCCAACUGCAGAGUUAGAUAAUGUUGCGAUAUGAGUGGGUUGGAUAUACUCAGCUGUUUAUGAUCUUUCUUUUUUGAGAGAGAGAAAGAUAGUAUGUUACCCGUUUCGUUUAUUUUUUUAAAAAAUAAAUUUAGCUGGAAAUAUGAAACAAUUAAACUUCGAACUUAAGACCUCAAAUACCAACAACAAAGCCUUUCGUCACUUACGUUAGAGGCGGUGGUUGCUGUUCAUGGUCUUGUAAUGUCUCCACAAGAUUUUAACAGCAUAGAUGCCUUCAAAGUGUAUCAAUUCAGAAGGUUAAAUAUAUCUGCAUCGAGAAGUAAGCUCCAGUAAGCAGAAUAUCACAGCAUUGAGAGGCUGACUAGCAGAUGAAGCAAGAACAAAGAAAUGGUUAUUAUAGCAGAGAAUAUACAUUAUUUACAUUAGCAGAAUCAAAUAUCGCUGCACCUGGUGUAGCUAUUUAACCUACUUUCUCAGAGAUUUAGCCUAGUUUGUUCAAAAAGAGAGAAAAUGUAGUAUCAAAUGAAGUUUUUUUUUGGCUCUUUCAUGUAUGACAAAAAAGUAAAUAAAUAAAAGAAACUAAGAAUACAUAGUCAAAAAAGAGGCACAUGGUGGUCUACCGGGCAACUGAAAGAACAGCAAGAGAUCUCAAAAUGAAAAUGGACUUCAUUUACAAUUGGCUUAAGCAAACAGCCUCAAGCCAUUUUCCUGUCUUUUGUUCGAAAUAAACAUAGUAGCUGAAUAAGAAAAACUGUUAUGAUUUAAUAUCUUACAAGCAACAAUCCAACAGGAGCAAAGGCAAAGGUAGUAUCAGAAGAAGUUGCUAUAUAAAAUUAUAUCAAGACUUGAAAAAGCAUUCUUGUCACUGUCAUCGGCUGUUCAUCCAGAAAAUUGGGAGAUUUUAAACGAGGGAUAAUUUGUCAACAACUGCUACAACCCAGAACCUUCAUGAAGUUAAAUAUGUUAUCUUAAAGAUAUCCUAGAAAGCACAACGUAACCAAUCAACAAUUUAUGGGCAAUAAAAAACGCAAAUUACAUGGGCUCAGGGCAUCCAUAUUUUUGGUCAUUAAUUGCCAGCUUGACAAGGUUGACUAAGCUAUGAGGGCUAAUUGGAAGCUCCUUUUACACUUUAAAGUACUCCUUCCCUGUGCACAAGGAGAGCCAGGGACAGCAGUUACUUUUUUCUUUUUUUUUUAAUUUUUUUCUUUUCUUAUUUUUCAAGUAAUGGACAUUAUCUAGUUUGAAUAAGCCAUUCUCCCUGGCUCUACCAACAAUGUUAGGUCUGAGUUUUAUUGCCCCUCUAAAAGAAGGAGAAGAGAAAUUAUCGCCUGCACCUGAUGCAACAUGCCAGCAUGCACUUCUAUGAUACGUUGGCCCUGCUUUCAUCUGAUGCUUUAAAUCCAAUCAUCCAAAAUUGAAAAAAAAUAUAUAUAUAAUUAAACAAAAAGUUGCACUGUACAGACUGAGAAGGUUGAAGUGUGAGUUUUGGAUGACAGGUGGAUCGCCGAACGGUGCUAACAUGGCGCACCAGGUGCAGGCCAGGCAACUAUUUCUCUUACCGAAAGGGCAUAAAAUUGUCCUCCUUUUUUUUCUUUUUCCUUUUUUUUUUUUUUUGAAAUUACAUAGAAUGGCCAUCUUCCACACAGAUCUAAGAGAUGUAUAACAAAGUAAAUGGCAAUGAACAGCAUUAACACCGAAGAAAUUGCAGUGGGAAUCAAGGGAUGCAAAUGGAUCCGGAUUGGUGGAACUCCCACCACGAUCUGCCCAAAUGGGACAGUAAAUAGGAACAAAAACAUAUAAAAAAAUAUAACCCAUACCGAAUCCGCUCCGAUCUGCCAAGUAAAUAGAGCGGAAGGUGGGAGAUCCUUUUCUUCUUUCAAUCCGUUCCAAUCUAUCGAAAAUUCGCUCUCGCCCCGAUCCAUCUCAAAUGAGACAGUAAGUGGGAGCAAAAAAUAAAAUAAAAAAUAGCCCGCUCCAAAUCCGUCCCGUCCCGUCCCGACAAGAAAUAGAGCGUCAAGUAGGAGAACCCUCCCGCCCCCGGAUCCGCCCUGCUUGCAUCCCUACAUCUUCCACAGAGAUCUAAGAGAUUUUACACAAUAAGUGGUAAUGAACAGCAUUAACACAAAAGAAAUUGCAGUGGACCCCUUGAUAACAACUGUAGUGAAUGAUAAAUACAGGUCCCCCCAACUGUAAUAAUUAAUUAUUAGGGAAUAGUUUUGUUGAACUGUCACAACAGUCGCUGCUGAUGGCACUACCACAGGUCCACAACCAUCAUCCACGCACACUUCGUCUGAAGUCGACAAGAUUCCUGGUGGCGUCAAACGAAGGAAUUUACGUUCACAACAGUAGACUAAUAUAUUAUUUUUGUGUGCUCAUCCAGCUAUACUCUUGACUCCCGAAUAAGUAAGGCCAUUUAUUCCACAGAAAAAAUCAGCCAUAAUUUCAACUAUACUAUUUUAUGACACAGCUACAGCCAUCCAACUCAAAGCUAAUUUAUCGUCAUGGUAGAAAGAAAAAAAUAUACAGACGAAAACUUCAACAUUAGUUUAAUUAAGCAAAAUCAAUCAGUGUCGCCUUUUAGUGUGGCAAUAUCAGAAGGUACCAAAGUGUAACAAAGGAAAGACUAAGACUUCGUUUGGCAUUGUUGUCAAAUUUUUAUCUUUUUAAAUAGAAAUUCUAUAUGAAAUAGUAAAUAAGGGGACACUGGAUUGCUUCCAAUCCUUUCAUUUAAAGUGUUUUUUGGGCAACAAUAAAACAAAAAUUUAGAAGAAACUUUUUAUUCUUCUAAUUUUUUUUAAAACAGGUUAUUAUAAAUCACCGGGACCGAGUGCAUAGCAAGCGAACCAACAAUAAUAACAAGAGAAAAUUCUUCCACUGAAAGAUCAAAUUAUUUAGAAUGAAUAUUUUUUUAAAAAAAAGAGAAAUGACAACAAUACUAAACGAAGCCUAUUCUUGCUUCUUUUAUNCAUCGCACGAUGGAUAGAGAGGUUUUUUUUUUUUUUUUUUUGUCUCCUUUCAACUGAAAAUUCAUAGACCGUACCAUAUUAUUAAAUACGAAUAAGCUUAUUAUCUUCUACCCCUAGACUUAAAUUAUUAGUAAUGAGUUAAAGAAACCUUUAAUCCAUCGAAAGUACGACAUUAGUUACGAAGAUCGUGGACGAAUUACAUGACAAAAAAAUUAAAAAAAAAAAAAAAAAAAAAGGAAAAGAAGAUACGAAUAAAAAACCUUGUACUCCGCUUCGUUUAUUUCAUUUAGAAAUAAACUUAACUAAAAAUGUGAAUCAACUAGGAUUCGAACUUGGGUCUGGGGUACCAACCACCAAGCCCUUUGCCACUUGCUCUAGGGACGGUCGGUGUCAACUUUCCUCUGUUAAAUUCCAAAUUUGAGAUAGUACCAUAAAGAGUGGAACAAUGUCUGUCCGUACGGAUGUGAAAAAUUUAAAAGUCACAAUACAUAAAAUAGAUAAAUAAUAGCAAUAUAUUGCAGAAGUUUAAAGAGGAAGAGAGGAUUGGGCCUCAGAUGUGAGCCAUGUUGGUGGAACUCAUUCUAUUACUCCUCAUCAAACUAAGUUCAGCAUCAGAUUAUAUCAGUUUCACAUACAAUGGUUUCAGCGGCACCAUGAUAAACAUCGAUGGGCUCGCAGAGAUCUUACCAAAUGGCCUACUGAGACUCACCAACACAACAGAGCAAAACAAAGGACACGCCUUCCACCCAAAUCAGAUACAGAUGAGGAACUCUUCUACUGGUGAUGCCCUAUCCUUUUCUACUUCUUUCGUUUUUGGGAUUCAACCUUUGCAUAAAGAUCUGUUUGGACAUGGAAUUGCGUUUGUUCUUUCUCGUUCAAACAAUUUAUCCGACAGUCUCCCUAGUCAAUAUCUAGGACUCUUCAAUGAGAAGGACAUCGGCAAUUCCUCGGACCAAAUCAUGGCAGUUGAGCUAGAUAUCAAUUAUAAUCCUGAAUUCAGAGAUAUCAAUAAUAAUCAUGUUGGGAUAGAUGUCAACACACUUAGGUCUCUCAACUCUUCAACUGCGGGAUAUUAUAGCAGUGUUAAUGGUGGUGGUUUUCAAAACCUAAGCCUUACAAGUGGAGAAUCCAUGCAGGUCUGGAUAGAAUAUGAUCAUGGACAGAGAUUACUAAAUGUAACAGUAGCUCCUCUGUAUGUGCCGAAACCUAAUAUUCCUCUGUUAUCUUCUACUCUGAAUCUUUCAAGUCUAAUAGCAGAUUACAUGUAUGUUGGUUUCUCUUCAUCGACGGGUUCUUUUCCAACAUCUCAAUACAUUCAGGGUUGGAGCUUCACAUUGAAUGGAAAGGCCGCAGUGCUCAAUGUACCACAUCUCCCAUCACUUCCCCGAUUAAUUCCCAGACCAAAAUCAAAGCUACUAAUCAUUGGGCUGCCCAUAAUUGGUGCUACUUUUAUGCUAGCAGCAAUAGUCGCAUUCACACUAGCGAUAAGAAGAAAGAUGAAAUUCGCAGAGCUACGAGAAGAUUGGGAGCAGGAAUAUGGUCCUCAAAGAUUUUCAUACAAAGACCUAUAUAUGGCCACCAAAGGCUUCAGAGACAAAGAGCUUUUAGGCGCCGGAGGUUUUGGUAAGGUUUAUGGGGGCAUACUGCCUCACACCAACACCCAAAUUGCAGUGAAAAAAGUGUCUCAUGAAUCAAGACAAGGAAUGAAAGAGUUCAUCACAGAAAUUGCAAGCAUUGGCCGUCUCCGACACAGGAAUUUGGUUCAACUACUUGGCUACUGCCGUCGAAAAGGAGAGCUCCUACUUGUGUACGAUUUUAUGCCUAAUGGUAGUCUUAACAAAUUCAUUUUUGAUCAGCCAACGCUGAGGCUUAACUGGGAUCAGAGGUUUCACAUAAUCAAAGGAGUAGCUUCCGGGCUUUUCUAUUUGCAUGAAGAAUGGGAGCAAGUGGUAAUUCACAGAGACAUAAAGGCGAGCAACAUUCUACUGGAUGCAGAACUAAAUGGACUGCUAGGGGAUUUUGGUCUCGCGAGAUUAUACGAUCAUGGGACUGAUCCACAAACCACCCAUGUGGUUGGUACUUUGGGUUAUCUCGCGCCAGAACUUACUAAAACAGGCAAGGCAACUACCAGCACUGAUGUGUACGCUUUCGGAGGAUUUCUUCUUGAAACUGCCUGCGGGAGAAGGCCGAUUGAAAUGAAAGCUUUGCCAGAGGAGAUGAUUUUAGUGGAUUGGGUGUUGGAAUUUUGGAAAAAGGGAAAAAUUUUGGAAGUGAGGGACUCUAAUCUCGGGAAUGAGUAUAAUGUGGAAGAAAUGGAAAUGGUAUUAAAACUUGGCCUUCUUUGCUCACACCCAAACCCCGCGUAUAGGCCGCGGAUGUGGAUGGUUAUGCAAGUAUUGGAAGGUAAUGCGCCGUUCCCCGAUGUAUCGCUACUGCAUUAUUGGAAUACUGACAACUCAAAUGUGUGGAAUGAAGGUUUCGAGGAUUAUGUUGUAGAAUCACUACCAUCAACAAGUAAAUCGCAACCAACAACAAACGAAUCGGUCAUAUGAGGAUGAGAUGGUCCAACACGAGAUUGCUAGAGCGAAUGAUUUAUUCACAUUUGCACUGUUUAUGUGAGCAAAUACUAGUCUUUUCCUUGGAUGAAAAGUUUUUUCAGCAGAUUCAAAGAAGAGCAUAUCUACACAUGGAAGAAAUUUAGUUAUACCAAGUUGUUUCCCUGAUCCAAGUUUUCUUUCUUUCUCCCAUCUCUUUGCACCUAUCUCUAUAUACCUAUUUCCUUUUCAGCAGAAACAUCGCCGAUCCUCGAAACUAAACCAAAAAAUUAGCGAAAUGAAACAUCCCCUAAGAUUUCUUUGCAGACAAAUACAUCUGUUGUUCAAAAGAUCGAUCUAAUAGGGAACGACUUAGGAAUAGUCUAAAAACCUGCUCACGCAUAUGCACAGUGGAGAUCAAGUAACGAAGGAAUCAGAAAAUAGAAAUUUACGCCAUUAAAUGACAAGCAAAGGGAGCUUAAGCUCGAUCCAAAUACUAUGUUACUGAAAAAAACAAAUCGAUAUGAUAAACCAUGUGACCAAACGGAAUUUCGCUUACCUUGAAUUCACGAUUAAUCCCCAUAAAUUCCGGGGACUGAGAGGAGAUACUCGGGCUCUACAGUGUAGCUUCGAAUCCCAGCGAAAAUAUGAGAAUAGGAUCAGAUUAGGGUUAGGGCUUUGGAUGGUGGAGGAAGUGGAGGGAAAGGGUCGACCAUGGAGGAAGGGAUGAACCCGAGAGCGAGCGCGCGGGAGACGAGGAUUUCCUGAUUUGGUUUGUAGUAAUGAAUAUGAAUGAAUUUGUAGGCUGGGCUAAGACCGAACUCAAGCGCGACCCAAACUCUAAAUUCUCGGCCCUAGCCAAUCUUACCGAGCUUAGUUUGGUAAUGAGAUAUAUCUAACGCUAUUAGUUAAAAUAAAGUUGAGAAAAAAAAUAUAUAAAGAUAUAUUUUUGCAUUUUUCUAUAGGAUCGUAACCGACUAAUCGUGAUAUGCGGAACGCAAAAUUACGUACGGAAACAAACAGAAUAUUUUUCCAUAGUUGUUUCUUACCGCACGUAACGUCCGCAAUCUCAGACGAAGCCUCGUUCAAACACUUUUUUUUUUUUUGAGAAAUAGAUAGCACGCUACCUGCUUCGUUUAUUUCAUUUAGAAAUAAACUUAGCUAGAAAUGUGAAUCAACUAGAAUUCGAACUUGGGUCUCGCGUAUCAAUCAUCAAGUCCUUUGCCACUUGCUCUAGGGACGGUCGGUAGCUACGAAAUAUUUCUGAUGCUAUAAUAUGGUGGUUCCAGUUG